UUUUAUAACUUUUUACAAUUUUAAGCUUUUUACAAUUUGAAGCCCAAAAUGUUGGGCUUUUAAAGAGUAAGCCCACCAUUUAAAGGGUAAGCCCACCCUUUUUUCAUAAAAAAAAAAAAAAGGGUUACAAUUGGCAAUUGCAACCAGCCAGCCCGCACAAGCACAGGCAGCCCACUUGUUUCAAUUUCAUCACAAUAUCACAGAUUCACAAUACCACACCUAUUUCAAUUUUCAUACCAAGAAAGCAACAACUAACAAGUUAAGCUUAAGUUCACAAUUUGUCUAACAAACUAGUUAAUUAAAAGUGCAUGCAACCAAAAUGAAAUAAGUUAAAUUUUACAAACCAAACUUCCGAAUGAAUUUAGAUUAAAUUACAAACCAAAAGCAAAACAUAGUUUAUAAGCAAGAAAGUGCAUGCAACCAAAACAUAGUUUAUAAACGUAGUUCAUUUCCUUUAGCCCCUUCGGCCUCUUCCCCUUGUUGAUGAAUGACCCGUUGACGUUGGUGUUAAUGGUGGUGGUGGACCCCUUCCUCUUGUUGAUAAUUGAACCCUCCUUUGUGUUGGAUUAGAUGCUCUUGAAAUAGGUGGUCGUGGUCGUGGAGGUAAUGAUGGGCGGCGUUGAACUUGAGGUGGUGGAGGAGGUGGCAUUUCACCUUGUGAGGAGAAUCCUGAUCCUGAUCCCGUCCCGCGAACACAGAGAAUUAUAAUUUUCCGUUUUCUUCUAAAUGCAUCAGCACAGGCAUUAAAUGAACAAAGAUUUUAAAUGAUUUUGAUUUUCUUCUUCUGAUCAAGACUAUCCAGAGGAACAAAGUGUCUUUUGAACUAAGAUGAAAACGGUGCUCAAUUAUGAUACGAAAAGGUACUUAAUGGUCACCACCUAUGCAGAUGCAAUGAGAGAAUAGAUGCGUGGAGGAGAUAAAUUCAGAACAGAGUAAAAACAAGUUAUGAGCAUGUGUAUGAAGUAUGUACUAAACAAGAAAGCCAAAAAGGAUGCAUAAUCCUUCAAAGAACAAAAUAGAUACCGUAUUACAUGAAUACUAAAACUUAACAGCUCAAUACCAAUACAAUAUAUCAGUUCAAAUAAAUACACUGCGGAACACCUAAAAUUCCCAGAAUAAGUUUUCUACGACGCGAAUCAACCUCCAUUUCCAGAUCAAUACAGGUUCCACACGAACCUAUAAAUAUGGAUACUUGAAAAUCAACGCAAUCCUACCCGCUUCUCAGAAAUAAGUUCCCUAAAGAAGUGCUUUCAGUAAAUAUACACUUCCUCAAAGCACAAGUCAACUCUCACUACGCCUAUCUCAGUUCAUCCACUGCUGUAAAUUGUCUGAUCCAGAUUCCGAAUGGUUUUGAGUGAGAGGUGUAUCAAUUCAACUGCUAAACUAAAUCCCUUUUUGCAGAUCCAAAAGCCAAACUCCGUGUAUCACAAAUUUCAAUCGACCAAUCUAAAACAAAUAAUAUACUUAAUCCUUCAGUAAAAUCGAAGUCCAAAUCAACAAUACGGUCCCAAUAGCUUCAAAAUGUGCAUCCAAAUUCCAGAUAAACCCACAUAGGGUUUCAAACUUUAACCAACCGAGAUUCGACAAACCGAAAAUUACCAAUACCCAGAUACAAAAACAUGGAAAUUAGCAAAAAUAAGCAAACCCAGAUAGCCACAAGUUGAACAACUAGGGAUUAUAUCAAAAUUAGAAAAAGUACAAAGUUUGGAUACAGAGAGUGUAGGGAUUAUGAGUGAGAACUGGAGUACCUGAAAAAGCGGGACUGAAGAAUGAUGAGAAGAAGUGACACGAAGGCGACGCUGAGAUGCUGUUUAUCAUCCUUUGAGAUUUUGACGAUCGGAUGACGAUGGAGAUGGGCGGUUGCCAUAUUUUCGGUUUUUGGACGGAUGACGAUGGACCGGCGGGGAUUCGACGAGAGGAUUAGCGAUGACGAUGAGAGCGGCGUGGAUCUCAUCGUAUCCGAGAGAAGCGGGUGGACGAUGAGGAGCGGCGUGGAUUCGAGGAGGAGGGAGCGGGGGACUGUGAAGGAGUGAGCGAGCGGCGCCAGGAGGUGAGAGAGCGAGAGCGACUGAGAGAGUCUGAAAUAACCUAACAAAAAAGGACCUAACUAUGGACGGUUGGAUUUGAUUUUAACAAAUCCAACGGUUCAAGUAAAUGCUAAUUAAAAAUUAAAAAUAAAUAAAUAAAUAAAUAUAUAUAUAUAUAAUAUUCGGUUCGGUUCGGGAUUCCCGAAAGCUUUCAAAUCUGUGGCCAAUUCCCAAACCGAAACUUUCGGUUCGGGAUCGGUUUCGGAUACCGAACGUUUCGGGAAAUUUGGUUCGGGAAUUUUUCGGGCUAAUUUCGGGACGGGAUCGGGACGGUUCGGGAUUUUCGGGAAAAAAUUCCACCCCUACAUAUACAUAGGCAAUGGUCCGUUACAACUUGCUCAUGUCUGCUGGAGAUAACGACUACUCCGUAAUUGACACGUGGACUUUCGGAUCUUAUUGUCUCUUUUGUAAACUCUUCGACGACGACUAUUUAGACAGUGUCCACUGGAGCAGGAGAGAGAGAGAGAGAGAGAGAGAGAGAGGAGGAAGAAGAAGAAGAAGAAGAAAGGAAUGGAAAGGUACGAGAUAGUGAAGGAUAUUGGGUCUGGGAAUUUUGGGGUUGCAAAGCUGGUGAAGGACAAAUGGAGUGGCGAGCUCUUUGCUAUCAAGUUCAUUGAGAGAGGCCAGAAGGUAAUUAAUUAUUUAAUUUCCACACCUUUCAUUUUCUCUGUUUUCCAACUGGGUUUGUGUGUUUUUAUAGAUUGAUGAGCAUGUACAGAGGGAGAUUAUGAACCACAGGUCCUUGAAGCAUCCAAAUAUAAUAAGAUUCAAAGAGGUAUAUUAAUCUCUUAUUUGUGAAAUGGUUUUGGAAUUAAUCUCUGCAGUGAAAAGAAAAAAGGUUAAUUGCAAGUUACGUUAGUGGGGUGUGCAACUUGAAAAAAAAGGAUCACUUUUGAUAGAGAACAAUCAGACUACCUUUUGGCGUUAACUUUUAAUUCCACUUGGUUUAAAAUCAAAUAUUCAUACUUGUUUUAUUCGUCAAUAUCUUUUAAUUCUAUUGUGUGUGUUAAUUUACGUAGGUGCUGUUAACACCAAACGAUUUAGCAAUUGUGAUGGAAUAUGCUGCUGGGGGAGAACUUUUUGAAAAAAUAUGCAAUGCUGGUCGAUUCAGCGAGGACGAGGUAAAAUUUAGAACAAAUUAAUACAUGACUUCUUUUCUUUUCUCUUUUUUUUUUUUUUUUCUUCCUUCAGCCGCAAAUGAUUAAGAAUCUUAGUAGUUGUUUUGAAUUUUCCUUUUUCUUUGGUUCGGUUUCCCGAUUCUUGACAUGGGUUUCUGCAUUCUGCAGGCAAGAUAUUUUUUUCAGCAGCUGAUAUCAGGAGUCAGUUAUUGUCAUUCAAUGGUAAAAUCCUCAACCCAUCGAAAUCAUGAUAUGAUUUGUUCGUUGUAAACAUUUUAAUUCUUGACCUAAUGAUACUAUAUAUACAUAUAUAUAUAUAUAUAUAUAUAUAUAUAUAUUUUUUUUUUUUUUUUUUCUUACUGCAGCAAAUUUGCCACAGAGAUCUUAAAUUGGAGAACACUCUUCUGGAUGGAAGCUCGGCGCCGCGUCUCAAAAUUUGCGAUUUUGGUUAUUCCAAGGCAAUUAACUAGUUAAUUGAUUGUGCAAAUCGUACAGUGAAUUUCAAUUCAAUUUAGUAAUUACUUUCCUUCUAUCUUAUAGUCAUCUGUGUUGCAUUCCCAACCGAAAUCAACUGUUGGAACACCGGCAUACAUUGCACCGGAAGUCCUGUCAAGAAAAGAGUAUGAUGGGAAGGUAAGAUUUUCUGAGACCGGUGUUCAUGUUCGGUUUUUGGUCUUGUCCUUGUCAUUUUAGACCAACAAUUUGGUCACAUAACUAACAUCCGUGUUUUCUCACUCAUUAUCCUUCGAGAAUCUCAGAUUGCGGAUGUUUGGUCCUGUGGGGUUACCUUAUAUGUCAUGCUUGUUGGUGCUUAUCCCUUUGAAGAUCCAGAAGAUCCAAGAAAUUUCAGAAAAACACUUCAGGUAUACGUAUAUCCUUGUGCUACUUGUACUGUUUUUGUUUUGCCUAUUGCCUAUGCCUUUCGAUGUUGUCACCUAACGAUUUUAAUUUGACACUGGCUUGUUGCAGAGGAUUCUUAGUGUCCACUAUUCAAUUCCGGGCUAUGUACGUGUUUCCAUGGAAUGCAGACAUCUCCUUUCCCGAAUCUUCACUGCUAACCCUGAAAAGGUAUUAUUCCGUGCACUCACAAUCAACGGUAUGUAUUUCGUUAAUUGUCAGUCGUGGAUGUACGACAACCCCGCCUAGAAAGACAGAAAACCUACUGUAACUCUUUUGAUUGUUUAUACUUUAAUACUCUUUUGUUUUGAUUCACCGAGAACAGCCAUCGUUGUGCACAUGUUUAAUUGCCAAUCGUUGAUGUGAGUAGACGGCUCACAAUCAUUCCUAGAAAGAUAGAUAACCCUUUAUCACUUUUUGAGUCCUUAUACUUUAUACCCUUCAUUGUGAUUCUCUGAUAACAAUCGUCGAGACACACACGUGGUUGAUUGUCAAUCGUUGAAUUUAAUGCAGAGAAUAACCAUCCCUGAAAUAAAGCAGCAUCCAUGGUUUCUAAAAAACAUCCCAGUAGAAUUCAUGGAGGAAAAUGGCCUCCCAAACAAUGACCAAAAUUAUGAAUCAUCAUCCCAAAGCAAUGAAGAAAUAUUGGCAAUAAUUCAAGAAGGUAGAAAAGCUGCUGCGAACGGCGCCAAAUAUGGCGGACGUUUACUUGGGAGCAUGGAUCUUGAUGAGUUAGACGAUGCUGACAUAGAUGAUAUAGAGACAAGUGGUGAUUUUGUUUGUGCGUUAUGAGUGCAAGUUCGUACCAGGAUUUUCCAGUACGCUCGGGUGCAUCCUAUACACAAGAUUAUUGUAGAAUUUCGGUUUGUAUCAUAUAUACAGCUUUUGCAUUUUGCAGCUGCAGGAGGCCAAAUGCUAUUUCCCAAAAGCAGUUGGAGAUAAGGCGGUUUUUUCGUGACAUAUUGGGGAAUCAAACUGUUUCUUUAGAGAGUGAUGCAUAUUUUACUUUGCUUAGAAGUUUGCUGUCUAGGUCAAUUGUGUGAACUGGCAUUUCCAUUGUAGGCUGUUGCUUCUUAGGUUUGUAAUUUGCAAAAUUUUCAUAACGACUUGUUGCCCGAGCGUUUCAAAGCGUUUAUUCUUGCAUCUAAGGUUCUAUGUUUGAAUCCCUCACCCCCCCCCCCCCGGGCGGCGAUAUGGUUUGUAUCAAAACAAAAUUGUAGAUUUUGAUAUUCUGUUAGCUUGUGACGUAAGCAUUCAUUUAUAGUAGAGUGGACAAAAUCAUAUGUUCAUCAAUAAGCAUUUAUUCUUACAUCGCUAUUGCAGGUCCAAUGGUUAGUUGCUCGUGGUAAAUUGGAGAACAUUGAUUGAAGCAGCUGCUUAAUUAAUUAUUGGCCGCACCAUCAUUGUUUAAUUAUAUGCAUUCACUAUCUAAAUUUUCAGAUCUUUCAUAAUAAACCUUUGGAUUCUCUGAUACUAAGUGGAAAUUUUUUUUUUUUUAAAUCUUAGAGGGGUGUAUAAAAUUAAUCAGUGAAUAUAUUUUUUAGGGAGUUUACUUGACUUCUAUAUAAUCCGAGUGGAUUUGAUUGAAUUCUACAUAGAUUUUAAUGGAGCACGUGAGACUUCUAUCAUGGAUUUUAUAAAAGAAUUAAUUAUCAAGGAUUCUCAAAUGAUCAGUUUAUUGAGGGAAAUGAUAAACAUUCACCAUUCCUAGCUUCUUACAUUCCUGUUUAAUCAUGACUGUUGAUUUUGUUUGAUUUAUUCGGUCUAAUGGUUAAAAAAAAAAGAAAACUAAUGAAAAGGACUUGAAAACUUUGAGUUUUAAUGAUAAGGACAAAAUAAAGGGUAAAGUGAAUAGUACCAGGAUUGACUUUUUAGUGUAAAAAUGUGGUUUUUCGUUAAAGUGAACAGUACCAGGUGCUUUUCGUUAAACUUCCCUAAAAAAAAAGGUGAGUGAAAAGUUAAAAGAUAUGUGUGAAAAUCACUUAAAAAUGUGUAUGAAAAUCACUUCUCUUUAUCAAUAAGCAUUGCUAUUUUCCAAAUUGAGGAAUGACAGCUAUCAUCAUUCUUCCCCCCCCCCCAGCAUCUCCAAUUUACCUUUUCCACACAUCAAACCACAUGAACUCCACUAGCACUUAAAACUAAGUUCUUAAUGCCUUACGAAACUCAUUAUUCUUUUUCCGAUAUUACCCUUGUUUUUGAAAUGCUAACUUCUCUCUCCUACCAAAUUCAGCCCAUAAUUCUGUUUCUAAACCGAAAAAAUACAUUCUUUUUUUUUCUUUUCUAAAACCCCAAAAUGAUCAUUUAGUACUAUGAUCUAAUGAUAUUCUUCUUCAUUUAUAAGUGAGAAGUCUUAGGGUCGAUUCUCGACAAAGGCGAAUUUGAAUCACAUUAUUGCUAGCCAAUUAUAAGGCUAAACACACCACACUCUGUUCGGGUGGAUAAUAUCGUUUGUUAAAAAAAUAAAACCCAAAAUGAAUUGUAUUAUAAAAGAAAAAACCAACCAAAAUUGGUUAUGUAGUUGUAUAUGUUUUCACUUGGAUUCAAUGACUUACCAAGAACAAAAGACAAGAACAUAUGUGAAUUAUUGAACAUUUGAAAAAAAAAAAAAAAAAAAAAAAAAAGAAGCCCACAUCGAUAUACGGGUAAAUAAGCUAAAUUAAAAAAAAAGUAAUUAGCUUUAAUGGAGUCAAAUUUUAAUUUUAAUUUUUUUUCAAUGUUUCGUCUAAAGAAGAGAGCAGAGGAACUUGGCGUUGGCCAUUGCAUGAGUGGCUAAACCAUCAGCUAAACCCAAUGGACCAAAUUUCCAGCUAAUAGGGUAUAUUAUUGGGGCAGCAUGAGAAGACCAUGGAGAAGGAUAUCGAAAGAUUUCAGCUGAAAGAGAAAGAAGAAUGAGAUGGUCCGGAUUGGGAAGAGGGAGGGUAAAAAGUGAUUUUAUUAGUUAUUUAGUUGUACGGUUUAGUUGUAUUCUUCUUCAAUAGUAAAUGAAAAGUAUUAUAUUUGAUUUUCACCAAAGACGUAUUUGAACUAUAUUAUUGCUAAUUCAUUGUGAAGCUUAAUCCACUUCACCACCCCUAAUGUAGAUUAUAUCGUUUGUUUUUAAAAAAAAUGUUUUUAUUAGGGGUAUUGAUGGAAUGAUAAUAAUGAUCUCUUUAAGGCAUUAAAAACUUAGUUUUAAGUGUUAGUAGAGUCCAUGUGUCAUUUAAUGAGUUGAAAAGGCAAAUCGGGAAAAGUAAGAGGAGAAGGUAGCUAACGUUUUUCUUUCAUUAUUUGAAAUAGUGAUUAUGACCAUCACAAGUGCCUAUUUUAUUUAAUUUUGAGGCUAUUACUAACCAAAUGCUCUUGCUUGGAGAUAGCCUAAGGUCAUUUCCAACUGAAAUGACUAAAUGUAGCCCCUCCAAAAUUAUAGCCUUGUAAAAAAUUAUUUUAAAUGAGCAAUAUUAGGGCAUACUCAUAUACUAUCUUCAACAGAAAUGGCUAACUAAUUCAUUAGCUUUAAAUUUAUAAUGAAUAGUGUCAGUUAAAGGUAAGAAUGUGGUUUUUCAUUAAAAGUGAACAAUACCGGGAGUGUUUUGUUAAAACUCCCUUAAAUUUAUUGGUUAAUUUAAUUAAACAAUCUUUAGAUAUUUUUAAAUCUAGUCGUUGAGUUUGAAUUAAGGAAAAAUUAGGUUCUCAUCCUUCAUUUUGCUACUCCAUUGAUUAAAAUCCUAUUCCUUUUCAAUUUUUGAUCAAGGUCCUUGGGUAUUAAUAACAUCAUUAAUUAUUUCAAUAAUAAAAUAUUUUUUAUUUCUAAAUAUAUUCAUUUAAUGUUAAAAAUGUUACAAUUAGUAUAUUUAUAUUUAUCACUAAAUUUUUUAUCAUAUAUUUUUACUUUUAGUUUGUACCCAUUUUUAAUUUGUAAUUCUUUUUUAACUUGUACCUAUUUUCUUUUCAAUUUUAAUUUGUACCCAUAUUAAUUUCUUUUUUUGCCCAUAUUUUUUAAACUUUAUUUGUAUUUGUACCCAUAUAUAUAUAUAUAUAUAUAUAUAUAUAUAUAUAUAUAUAUAUAUUUUACUUUUUAUUUGCCUAAAUGUACCCAUGCUAAUUAUAUGUACCCAUUCAUGUAAAAAGUUUUAAUCUUAAAAUGUAUUCAUUCUUAAAUAUACUAAUUUGUUAUAUGGAAAAUGUACCCCUUUUUUUUAUAUAUAAAAUCUAUUCAAAUUUUUUCUAAUCCAUUUUUAAACUUAUAUGGGUACUUUCUUUUUUCUUUGAUUUUAAAAUGUAUCCAUGUCAAGUUUAAUCGAAGAAAUUUACUACUGUUGUUAAGCCUAAUAUCUUUUUUUUUUUUUUUGUGAUUUUGAAGAAUGUACCCAUGUUUUGAUACAAUAAUUGUUUUUGGUUAAUUUUGAUGAAUGUACCCAUGUACACACACACACACACACACACACACAAUAGUAUAUUUAUAUUUUAAUAUUUUUAAUCCCACAAAUUAUGGUUUUUUUUAUUUAAAAUCUCAUUUAUAUAAACAACUAAAAUUUCUAAUUUUUAAUUAAAAAAAUAUAGUAACGUACAUAGAAAUAAAUUAUCACAUUAAUGUCAGGGAUCUCAAUAAAAAAUUAAAAACCAACAAGGUUUCAGUUAAAAAAUAUUCGUAACUAGGGACCGCAUCCAAAGUCUCCCUUGAAUUAAUCAUUGCAACAGGAGGUGACUCCCAUAAUAAGGCUAAGGUCAUCUCCAACCGGGCUGACCAAAGGGUUAUAGGUCGAAACAUAGCUUAUUUUUGACACAAAAGCUAUCUCCAAUGAAGGGCUGGGCAAAAGAGAUUUGGGAUCCACUAGGCCAUAAACUAGCCAAAUGGCUAGCGGGCUGGCCAAAGAUAGCCAGCCGGCCAAAGAUAGCCAGCCAGCCAGCCCGGAAAGGAAAGUCCAAAUGUUCUCCAAUAGUAACAUGAUGUCAUCCUGACGUCAGUUUUGGAAUUUAUUAAUUUUUUUAGGACUUUAUUUUUUAUAGACGAAAUUUAAAAAAAAAAAAAUUAGAGGGCAUAGAGUACAAACUAAGAGAUUCACUAACUGGCGUGCAACCACAAUUUGUUUACCAUAAAUCAACUAAACUCACCACAUCCGCAAAUACCCAAUUGCCCAAAGCUGCAAAUACCCCUUUUUUUUUUUUUUCACUUCUUGGCACUGGCAUGUUUCCCCCAUUCCCUUUCAUGCCUUCCAGAAGCCUCCUCAUCUUUCCUUUUCUCCCUUUUUUUUUCUCAUAUUUUAUAAUAUAAAUAUUAUUCUUACUCCUCCCUCAUAAAAUUCCAAAGGUAGGUAUCCAACUAGAAUAUUAUUAAAGACAUAUAUAAUUGUUUAUUGAGUUAUUCACUUUGAGCAACACACCAAUUAUUACUUUUUAGCAUUGUUCUAAAAAUCCCCAUCUAGCGCCGCCUAGGCGCUAGUUGGCUAGCCACUGUCCCGAUUAAUGCCUAGGCGUUUGAAAAUUAAGAAAUAACGCUUAGACCUACUGAGGCGCCCGUCUAAACCGCCUAGCCCGCCCAGACCCACCUAGGUUGCAACUCACUUAGACAGAAAAUAGAUAACUUUCAUUUUGCAUUUUAUUUUUACAAUGAAUUAUAAGAGACUUGUUGAAUACUUAAAUGAACACACAUUAUAUUCCCACAUUUUCAUUAUAUUCCAAAAGCUCAUAAUAGAUAUGUCAUUCUAUUUUAUAGUUUAUGAUGAAAUCAUAUAUAUUUUAAGUAUAAACAUAUACUUAUUUACACGAAAUAUAAUAGAUUUAAUUAAGUCUGCCUAGGCACCUGCUUAGACCCCGCCUAAGCGCUAGGCCCCAGACCACCGCCCGACUAAUGCCUAGCGUCUUUUAGAACCUUGCCUUUUAGCAUUAAAACGUUAUACAAUGAGUUAAAUAAUAAUACUUACAUAUAGGGUUUCACAAUGAAUGGAAUAUUUCACAUAGAAAAGUAGGAAUCGGUUAUAACAUGACACUCGAAAAUCCUAUUUGAAAAAUUAUUAAGAUUACAUAAAGAUAAGAAAUAUGUAGAGUUACUCACUUUAGCAACACGUAUCACUCGAAAUCAUAUCCGAAAAAUUAUUAAGAUUAUAUAAAGAUAAAAAAUCUGGAGGCUUAUUCAUUUAGUAACAAGCGACACUCAAUAUAUGUCCAGAAAUCUUAUUUUAAUAUAUGGUAGUUUAAUUUAAUUAACUAAUAAAAUUAAAGAACAAUUUUAAAAUAAUACAUUAUUGAGGGGCUAAAAAAUAGCCCCCUUUGGUUGGGGACGAUAUAUAAAUAUGGCAUGACACUGUUCAUUAAAAAAUAAUUUCUUGCAGGGCUAAAUAUAGCAUUUUAGGUUGGAGAUGGCCUAAGAAGGGCUACAUUUGGUAAGCCUGAUGACCAUUUAGCCAAAUAAUGGUUUAAUGGGCCCUAUAGGAUUAUAGUCCAGUCAUUAGUUGGAGGUGAUUUUUUUGUCAAAUCAGGUUACUUUUUAACUUUUAGCUCUCUUCAUUGGAGAUGACCUAAGAUCCAUACUCUUCUAAAGAGCAUGAGCCCAAUACAGUCUUGGAUAGUUGAUAGCAACCCAGCCUAAUUUUUAGGCCUCCGCUCGUCCAUCAGUUCAACCAGUGACAUGUACGGUGUAAAACAAAUGUACGGUGUAAAACAAAUUAAGACAUACAAUCAGUCCCUCAUAACACCACAUAAGAACCCUAACCAUUCUCGCAUAUUUAGACCAUCUCUAACCAAUUCGGCCAGAGGGCCGAAAAUAGCCUGAAAUCACACGACAACCAUAUCCAACCGAAGGCUAGGCCAAAGGGCUCGUGGGCCCCACCGAGCCAAAAAAGAGAAAAUAGGCCAACCGACUGGCCCAAAGGAGCCAGCUAACUAGCCUCGGGCCGGCCCAAAAAUUUGAAACCAACGACUACCUAGCGUCAGCAUGAUGCUAGUUAGCAACGACUAGCUAACGUCAUCCUGACGCCAGGUGACAGUUGGAUUUGAAUUAUUAUUAUUGUUUUUUUGGGACAAAAUGUUUUUAAAAUUUUUUUAAAAAAAAUUCCCAUAUUUUUUCCUUUAAAUACCUAAGCCAUUCCUACACCAUUUCUCACAUAAUUUUCACCAUUCCAUACUAUCUUACUUCAUUAUAUUUCAAUUCUUCACAUUCUAUUUUCUUGCAUCUUCCAUUAAUCUUUCCUUCAAUUUUUCAAUAAUUUUCAAAUGGCCACAUCUGCAAUGAAAGGUAGGGCUUGGACCCAAAAAGAAGAUGAAGCUCUUUUCAGGGUUUAUAGAUGGAUCUUGAAAGAUAGUGUGAGGGGGAGUUCUCAAACAAGUGAAGCUGUUUGGACUCGUACGUCCAAAAAAUACUAUGAGUUCUACGAAGGCACCACUCCACCGAAUACCUGAAACCACGAGAGUUGUUCUUCAAGAUGAAAGAAACAUCUUCAUCCAAGUUUUAAUAAAUGGAAAGCACUAUUAACAGCCGCAAGUAGACAUGCAAGCGGUGCCAAUUACUACGACGAAGUAAGUGUUUUCACAAUUUAUUUUAAAUAUUUAAUUAUAUUACAUUUAAUUUCAUAAAUUAAUUUUCUAUAAUUUUUGUAAUUAUAUUUUCUAAGUACGCCAAGCGGAGGAAUUCUAUAUGGAGGACAAUUCGAAACCCUUUAAUCAUCACGGUUGUUGGGAAAUUUGUAAAGGGUGGGUGUUAUUUGAAGAUCUACCUCAACAAAGAGUAGGUCCUACGCCAGUGUUCGGAAAUGCAUCCUUAAUUGCAGAUGGGGAUGAAGUUGGAUCUCUUACCAUUCAAGAAACAAGGGUAGAAAAUUCGUCUAUGGGUGAAGGUUCUAUACCUAGGGCUAUGGGAUGAAAUAAGGCCUAAAAAUUGAAGGAAAAAGGCAAGGCAAAUGAUGAUUACGCCUUUCAACAGGAAAUGGCAGCCUCUUUGCGAUUAAUGGCGGAGCAAAAUGCCAUUGUCGUAAAAGAAAGGAACUGUAGGCAUGAAGAACGGACCAAACAAAUACAAGAAGAGAUAGAUGAUAGGAAUAACAAAAGGAACACUUUGGAUUACACUCCAAUGAGUAAGGCCUAUUUUGAUAGGAAAAAGAAGAAAAUUAUGGCCCGAUGGGAGUUGUUUACCUCCGACUAUAAUCCUACAAUGGUGGAUGAUGAUGAUGAUUAUAGACUUUAAAUUUAAGUUGUAGUUUUUAAAUUUAAGUUCUUGUAGUUUUUAAAUUAAAAUAAUAAAUUAUGUUUGGCCCUAUGACCCUUUGGCCCCCUCGGUUGGAGAUGGUUUUUUGUCACAGGGCUAUGUUUAGCCUAUGGUCAUCUGACCCUUUGGUUAGAGAUGGUAAGAAAUAUGGUUUGGCAUUGUUCAUUAAAAUAUUAAUUUCUUGGAUGGCUAUAGGGCUAAAACGAGCCUUUAGCCAUCCUUUUGUUGGAGAUGACCUUAAAUUCCACCAAAGCUCAACCCCCAAAACCCUAACAAGCUGCCAAGAUCUCGUCCAAUUCUAUUGGUUUAGCAGGCGGAGCAUUUCUUUCUUCCUGGUUGUCGGCGGCGGAGCAAGCAUGAAGGUUUAGAUCUGUCUCACUUUUUCCAAACCCGAACUCUAACGUCUUUCUCUGUUUCAUUGAUCGACGUUUCGGUUCGUUCAUUUCUUUUGGUUGUUUUAGUUUAACAUUGCGAAUCCCACCACUGGGUGCCAAGAAGAAGCUUGAGAUCGACGACGUCGACAAACUGUAUGGAAACCCUUCCUCUAAUUCUCCUUAAUUUGGGUUUUUGUUUGCUUUUGGAAUGGAUAAUAUGAUCAUUUUCUUUGCAAUUGAGGUGGUUUAUGGGAUUGGAUUAGUUUGUAUGAUCUUUGAGGUCUGUUUGGCUGCUGAGAUAUUGUGGACAGUGUUUGGGUUAAUAUUUGAACAUUAGGCUAUAAGAAUAAAGAACGCCAGAGAUGCCAGUUAAAAGAAGACUUGCCCGAAGCCCAGCACCAGGCCCAGAGAGCCCAGAGACAAAUUCGCACCUCCCCAUUAAUGCAUAGACCAUGUGUCCAUGAUUUGAAUGUCAAGUGAUGGAGACUAACUCACAAUCAGCCAAAAAGCACUUUUUGUGGCAAUACAAGUAAAAAGAUGAUGAGUUACUACCCUCCAAAUGCUUUCGGGCAAAAGCGAAGUCAUAGUAGUUGGGCUAAUUCGCCUACAAAAGGAAAAAGAGGCCCUAGAGACAAGGACACUUAACUAAUUAAACAAAUAAACAUACAAACUCUGCUUUCAAGCCAGAUUUGCAUCCAGAAACUGAAAUCAACCCAGAUUUAGUCAUUUUUAGCAACAAGCUAUCUUUCUCUCUAGUUUAAAAGCUCUACUAUCUCCCUUAGUGGCGUAGUAUCGAUUAUCUUGUGUAAACCUGUUUACUACCCACCCUUUUUUUAGCAUACAAACCCCUGUAAUCACAAAGAGAAGUGACCGCAAGAAGUUCAACCAUGACAGACAAGGUGAAAUCUUUUCCGAAGCUCUUUGUUUUAUUUUCUGAAUUUGUAGAUCUAUUACGUAAUGCAUUCCCCAAUAUGUAUUCAAGUCAUGUCCACCUGUUGUCCUACUUUAAGAGUCCUAUUUGCAUCUAGAUCUGGUUAGUUUAAUGGAUAGACAAUCAUUAAAAUCAAUCAAGAACCAAGCAAAUGGCUAAAUGGCUUAAAGAGGAUCUGGACUCCCUUCAUACGAACAUACAAGACUAUGAACUGAAAGUCCUUGGUCACAAGGCAAGAAAAAGAACUUAAUGUGGACUUAACCCAUCCACGACAAUCCUUUGAUAACAAGAAGUCCGAGUAACUUGGGGCGCAAGUAAUCGACUAAACACACACUUGUUCUACGUCUGCUAUUCUGAGAUAUAGUAGUGGCACGCCUAGCACUCAGUUAGUUUUGAUUGUGAGCCUCAAGGCCUACACCUAAAGCCGCAUAAAGGCAUAUUUCAGAACUAACUCUGUCCUCUUCUUGCAAUGCAUCAACAAGCAAGAGCUUGACUACACAUCCAAAAGUGCCAAUCCCUUGGGAAGAUGGAAGAUGUGCUGAGGUCCGAGGAGCCCUCUCCGGAGAAAUCUUCACCCGAACAUAGUUUUGGCACACCUGGUGGGAUACAUUUAGUCUUGUAUGCCAAGAAGAAGAAUGAAGAUAAAAUCUUUGAAUGGAACACACAAUACGGGCCACCCUAGUGUUUACUAAAACUAAGCAUGACAAAUCACCCAGAGGAUUUUCCUUCCCUCUAAGGACCAGUUAUUCUAGAAAACCCAAGCUCAUCCGAGAGGUCAGGAAGGAAGGUGACUAAUGAAGACUUGCAAGCCACUAUGAUGUAAGUAUUGAAAACUAUGGAGAGUAUCACUCUGGAAACCAGAGGAGAAGUAAGCAGACUUUGUUUUUUAACAGGGAGUUUGCAAAGAGUAUUAGAUCUGGAGUACACUACUCCAAGAAAUGGUCAUGCUAGGGAAGUGAUGAUAGAGGCUAGUCCUGAGAAAGAACCAGUUAUUCCCCUAUUUCCUUUGCUUGAGGAAAAACGGGAUAAAGGAAAAAACAAGGAAUGAUCUGGAGCUGGUCAGCCAGUGUUGGUGGAAAUCCUAGAUGUGGAGUUGCCGGACCCUCUAUUAUUUUCAAUAGAUAGUAGGGGGCAAAACAGGCAAGAAGAAAGAAUGAAGUAUAGGAUGCCUCAAUUGAUCAGCAGGGAAUCUAGUGGAAAAUGCGAGCCUACCAAGGCAGAAAAGCCUCCUCCUUACAGGCCCCGCCAUCUGCCUCCUUACAGGCCCCCGCCAUUGUCUAGUAAGGGAGGGGAUGCCAAGUGGAUAAGCCCGAAACAAGGAAUAAGACUUUCUCAGGCACUGAUCGUAGCCUGAAGUGGGAAGCCCCACAUACCUCAUACAACAAUAUGGCUAACCAGUAGCUCAGAGAUGAACUAGCCGAGUUAAGGAGAAUAGUGGCCCAGAAUGCUCAACCUCAAGCUCGCCCGCUGUUCAGGAUCAUCUACCAUAAGCCAUACCCGGAGUAUAUUGAUGAGCAAAAAUCCUUUUCCACUCAACUUCAUGAUGCCCGCGUUUCCCACUUUUAGUGGGGAGGAUAGCAGUGUAUCCUCUAAAGAUCACAUCUUCAAGUUCUCCAACCAUUACGUGGCAUUUGAGGACAAUCCUAAUUAUAAGUUAAGAUUGUUUGGGAACUCAUUGGUUAGCCUAGCAUCUCAAUGGUAUUCUCUAUUGCCUUUCAAUUCUAUUGCUAACUGGGGGCAAAUGAAGAUGGCUUUCCAUUAGCAGUUUUAUAGGAUGGAGCCCGAGAUAUCUAUCAAUGACUUGGUGGAGGUAAAGUAAUAUGAACAUGAGUCUACAUAGGACUUCAUGAUGAGGUUUAGAAGGACAAGAAUGAGGUGCCAAUUCCCUAUCAAUCAUGCCCAACUUAUAUCCAUUGCUCAGAAAGCCUUAAGGCUACCUUUGAGGAAAAAGUUCUAUAAUGUACAGUUCAAUGAGUUGCAAGAGUUGGUGAUUGCUGCCACAAAGUAUGAGAAGUUGUUGCUUGAAGAACAACAAGUAAAACACUUAUCUAAAGUUCCUUAUUUCUACAAAAGCAAAGCUACAAUUCACCAAGUGAAUUUUGAAGAGGCGGAGCCAGAAGAGAGUGAUGGCCAUAGAAGAGAAGGGAUGGACGUGUGUCUAGCAGAGAUGACUACCCCCUUUAAAUCGUUAAUAGUGAAGAGGUUAGUCCAACCAAUCGAUGAUCAGAAAGUGGUGAUGAAUGAUGGUGGAUUUGUCCACGUGAAGCCCCCCAAAUACCAGAGUUAUUCCUUUGAUUUAACCGAGACAUCGGAGAUCUAUGAAGAGUUGGUGCGGGCAAGAGUGAUUAUGCCCGACAGCACCAAAAAGAUGCCAAAACCAGAGGAACUAAAAGGGAAAAAGUAUUGCAAGUUGCAUUAUACUUUCAAUCACUUCAUAACCAACUGUGUCUAGUUUAGGUACUGGAUACAAGACCUUAUCGUGAAAUGAAGGUUGUUGUUAGAAAAACCACAAGCCAAUAUGAUGAUUGAUACAGAUCCUUUCCCAUAAGCCCCAAUAAACAUGAUCAACUUAAUGUGGGCUAAGAAAGGGAAAUGGAAGGCUACCUGGGAAGUCAAAGCAGGAAGGAGGCAAGUUGACAGGCUAACAGAAUGAGUUAUCAAGUUGCCCAAGAAGCCCAAAGCAAUCAUAGUCAAAGAAGUGGUAUUAUGCGGCAGGUGUCAGUGUGAAUGUGAGUUGGAAGUACCAACAUCAGGAGCUAUCAUUGAUCAAGAGUUGAUUAAAAGAAGAAAGAAAGAAGAACAAGAAGCCUGCAGAAGUAUCUUGCAGACAGCUGAGAAAGAGACCUCCAGAAAUGUUUUCCAAAGGUUGGGAGGAGAUUCUCAAUGAAAGGGCUUAUUAGAGGUAUUCAGAAAUUAUGAAGUCUCUGGACAGGUGGAGGACAGAGAAGCCAAAAUACCAAGAUGGGUGGAUGUGAGGCUACCCCAGCCUAGCUAUGCCGGUAGAGAUGUCAGAAGAAGGGAAAUGAUAGUGAAUCCAGUCACGAAGAAGAAUCCUGCCCGACUCGAGCGAAAAUGGUAUGUGGUUGGAAUGAUGGGAGACUCGUAAGAGAAAUGGGAGCCUCUAUGAUUAUGAGAGUUCAGAGGCAGCACAAAAUCCACAUGAACUCAUUAAAAAUCCCCACUACCUCAGAAACCUCUGAGAAUGUGAAAUUUGAGAAAGUACCUCAUAGGGGAAGAAAUCAACUUCAAUGGAAGAGCAAGAAGGAGGUAGAAAAGGCAAAUAGCAAGACUGAGGGGGGAAGGAGAUCAUGUGUGAUAGGAGCAUAUUUAUGCGACUUAGUUAGCUUGUUUCUUGGCAUUUAUGUUGUUAGUUCGUAGUUAUUUUAGUAUUUUAAGCUAUUUUCGUGUGUUUGUAGGUCCAAAGGGUUAAUGUGGCAAAGAAGUGCAUUUUGGAGCAUUUUAGAGCAUUUUUUGGCAUGGAAUGGAUAACAUAUGCUUGGAGCAAAAGGAAUGGACGAAAUUUGAAGUUUGUGCAUCAUCCUCUCCCUAUAAAUAACCAUUUUAGCACACUCAUUUCACCCAACACAUCCAUUUAUUAUAACCACCCAACACAUUCACCUACCACUACAUCCACUCAUUUCACCCAACACAUCCACUUAUUACAACCACCCAACACAUUCACCUACCACUACAUCCACUCAUUUCACCCAACACAUCCAUUCACCAACCACCUACCACUACAUCCACUCAUUUCACCCAACACAUCCACCAUAUUACAACCACCCAACACAUUCACCUACCACUACAUCCACUCAUUUCACCCAACACAUCCACUCAUUACAACCACCCAACACAUUCACCUACCACUACAUCCACUCAUUUCACCCAACACAUCCACUCAUUUCAACCACCCAACACAUUCACCUACCACUACAUCCACUCAUUACCACCACCCACUACAUCCUCUCCCUAGCCUAUAAAUAUAUCCAUCCAAAGACACAUUUGGAGGGGGGGACAGUUUAGGGAGAAGGGAGGAAGACACAUUCUGCUGCAAGGCAGAGUCUUUUCUUCUUAACCAUUCUACACAUUCCCACAACAAAAACACAAUUCCAUGCACCUUCAUUUCCCUUUCCUUGCCGUGACCUCCAUCCAACCUAAACACAUUCAGCCAUUCCCUUCCAUAUAUCCAUAUGCAUCCAUCAAACCACACCUUGUGCAGCAACAAAGAGAAGAAGGAAGAUCCUUGGACGUGUUUGCCAUUCAAGUUGGAUUGUUGGAGCGUUUUUAGGUGUUUUCUUUCUUUUGUUUUCAAUGUCUAAAUUUGUUUAUCUUUGCUUUGUGAGUAUGAGGAACUAAACCCCCCUUUAGCUAGGGGGAAUUCAAAGCCAUAAACAUACUUGCAAUAUGAAUUGAUUACCUUCAGUUGUGAUUUCAUAAGUUGUGAAUUCAAUUUGUUUAACUGCUUGAUUGAUAACUUAUUCGUGUAUGUUUAUUAAGAGUGCACACUUAGUUUGCAUGCAUGAAUAUGAUGCUAGAGUAUAAAGUGAAGGGAAAUCUUAGAGAUUAAUAUGGGAUUUCGAAAUGACUAGCAUGCAUAUACAAUUCGAAAAUAAUAUACAUAAGCAACGGAAGCAUGUUAUCAAAUAAAAUCAAAGCUAUAGUCAUGCAAAUCCCCUUCAAGGUUCAUAGGUUUAUAUAUAAUGCAUCUAAAACAUUUAAGUUAAGAACAAAGUGAAGGAAUAGAUCUAUACCUCUUGAUCUAGAUUUUAGACCAAGGAUGGACCACCUCCAAGCCCUUUGCUCCUUGAACUCCUUGAGCCUAGCCUCCCUCCUUGCCUCCUCCACUUUGUUGGUAAGAGUGCUCCUAGGUUCUCCUUUAGUCUCCAAAGGAGAAGACUUCUAAAGAUCCACACCCACUAGUGUAGUGAGAUGGAUGGAGGAAUAACCAAAAGAGUGAAAAAGGAUUAGCUAAAUCACCCUUAAGGUGGCCGGCCUUUGUGUAGUUUUAGAGAGAUAUUUCUUUUGCCUCUUUGUUGUUUUAAACACACAAAAACCCUAAGGAAUAAAUCUCUAUAAAGUUCCUUAUAUAGACAAAAAGAAACCUAGUCAACAACUUGACUUAAUAUCUCUCCCUCUCCACUUUAAAUGGCCGGCCCCUUUGUGUUGGUUUGGGCUUUGGGCUUUUAUUUAUUUCUAGUCAUCCAAUGCUUGAAUAAAAGUCCAAUGGGUUUAGGCCCAAUGGGCCCAAUUAAACCCGAACGUUUCUUUAAGCCCAAAACGAUCUUUUAUCGCUUUUAUGAUUUCUUUAGACUUUCUAAAUUAAUCACAACACUUAAUUAAUCCAAUUAAUUAUUUCCAUCAUCCAUUAAUUACUCAUCACAAGAGUGUAUCGGUGUACAAUCAUUUUAGGUUCUAAUUAGCAAGGUAGUGAGGUGAUUGACAUCAAUCCAAUUGAUUAUAUUUAAUUCAAUCACGUAGUGAAUUAAAACUUCCUUUUAAUUCACCUUCUUCUUUGAUGACUACAUUUAAUCAUCUAGAAGAACUCACAAGCUAUGAGUGACAUCUAACCAUUAUAUCAUAGCUACCCAAGCUAAUGUAGAAGUUGUUCGGAGAACCUAUUCAGUUGGAAUUACAAUGUAAUUCGAUCCUUCUCUAAAACAAUACUCUCAAUCACAUUACUAGGGUAUGGAUAUAUUAUGUCAAACCCCUAAUGUGAUUAUUCCUUCUUAUAUGAUUCAAUUGAGUCGUAUAGGAACGCUUUCCUUUAUUACGCUCGAUACUUCGGCCGAAGAUUCCCGAAUCAUAUCUUAGAGUAUUCUUCCUCUCUUAUCGAGGAUUAGAGAUUCCUUGUUGCGCAUUCACUUGCCUUCAUGACUAAGUGGCUUAACCCCAAUUAUGCCGUGGAUACCCACGAAUGGGGUGACUUUGACAUAAUCAAAGAUUAAGUACUUAGCCACAAGACAACGACGAUGCCUCAGGUCAAAGGACUACUUACAUUAUUCCAACCAUUAGAGUUACUUGCUUGACAUGUGAGUAGACCUCCAUGCAAGUACUCUCGUUCGAUUGUGUUCAAUGAACUCAUUCCCUUAAUGAGCACCUACAUACUUGUCUUAGUGUCACCACACGAAUGGGAUGAGACUUUCCAUCCUUCCAUUUGAAGCAGACACAGUAUGUACCGGUCUAAGCAUUGUCAGUAUCCCUCCGACAAUCCAAUGACCAGGAACCUUUUUGGACAUUAUGGUUAUGUGAAGAAGGUCUCUGUAGUCUAACAUCAUUAGAUUACUUCUUCAAUCGAUCCAUUGUCCAUGGAUUCACUAUUUAGGACAUAUAUCGUUUAUUGAGAUAGUCCUAAUUAGUAUCUUUGCCAUUUGAUGUAUAAGAAUCAUCUAUACAUCCAUUCAUUUGUCCUAAAAGGUUUCUUCCAAAGAUUGACUUUGAGGGCAUAUUUCCAACAUAAAGGAGUUUCACCUAAUAGUUACAAACUUAUAUUCACAAGUAGUGGAGGUCGCUUAUAAACGAUCGCGUUAAAUGAAUUCUUGGCAGGAGUUUCAUGCUCAUCAUAGUAACGAAUGCCACGUCAAUACUUAUAGUUUUCAUAAUGCUUAAUGAUCUUUGAUUGUAUCUUUAUUGUGCUGUUCACGAAAAGGACUUUUGAAGAAUGCUUGAAUUGUUGUAUGCGCUUUCCCAUCCAAUUCAAUAACUUAAGGUGAACUUGAACGUUAAUUUAAGCGGACUUAAUUAACCUAGGGUGUUGAGUUUCAUGACUUAUCGAAUGAACAACUGAAAAUUGGUUUAUGUGCAAGUGUGUCAUGUGUGGAGAAGAACCCUCUAGCUAGCCCAUCAUCCAUAGUUUACCCAAAUUCGUCCAAAAUCUGUUUUAGUUUACAAUUUGUUCGUUUUGUUUUCAAAUUCGUCAAAAUCAAACCCCCCUUACUUUAAAGUGUUUUAUUAGUCAAAAUCUAUUUUAAUUUGUGUUUUUAAGUGUCUUGAGUCAAGUCAGAACCUAAUUUCGUCCAAAACCAUCCCUAGAGUCAAUUUAGAGUCUAAUUCAUUGUUUUAAGCUGUUUUGAGUCUUUUAAACUAGUUUGAGUCUUUUUAGUUUGUAUUGCAUCUUUUGAGUCUAGUUUGGUGUUUUAAACUUAAUUUUAUGUUUUUAAGUCAGUUUAGAGGUUAUUAGCAAGCCCUCCUAAUCCCCGGUCCAGAACGAUCCCUACUUACAUUUUUUACUACAAUUGAUACAAGAGGGUUAAUUUGUGUGUUAAGUAAUUUUUGCACCAAUGUGCCACAAAACCCUUAUCCAGGAAAGUACAUAAUCUUGAGGAGAGCUCAAGAAGAUAUGGUGAUGAUGCCAACCCCAAGAUGGAGCCCAGAACCCAUAUAUUUUGGAAUUAUCUCACUUGAGAGGGGGAUACCCUCACCAUUAUUGGUUGGUACUCUUUGUGAAGUUCCAGGACCAAUGCCAAACUUUGACCUAACUCAAGAGGAAGCGUUGCCUGAGUUGAUGUUGCCCGAAAAAGCACAGGCCUCAUUAGAUGAAUUCAUGGACCGUAUUGGGGGUAAGAAUGAUGACUUACCUAGGCCUUCCACGUAAACAUGACAUAUGUUUUAUCUGCUAUGUUUUUCCCUAAGCAUGAUCAACCUACCACAAUAGAGGGUGAUUACUUGGCUACAUAACCCAUGACGGCACAUGUUAGUGUUGAAGAAGCGGGAAAACAAGAGUUGGGCAGAAUAAGGUUACCCGAACGCACAAAGAAAGAACCCAAGAGAAUAUACUAAGAUACAAUAGUCUUCAGUCGCUUGAGUUUGAUCCUAGCCAACCAUCUCAAGCUUAUUUAUGUAACUGCUGCUCAUCUGGAAGGAGUGCUCUUUAAGAGGUUUUUGAUUGAUAGAGGAGCUAUGGUCAAUGUGUUGCCCUUGGAAAUUAACUUGGGUUCAAAGCAAAUCAUGCUAACCUUCUUCGUGGUGGACAACACUUCCACUUAUGGAGAUUUACUAGGCCGAGAUUGGAUUCAUUAGAGUCUCUCUGUGCCUUCCACCCUACACCAACAGGUAGCAGUUUACCACGAGGAAAGAGCCAUGAGACCAGGAUUUUAGGAGAUGGUGGAGGUUGAGUCACGACCAUUCUUCCCCACUGCUAAUGUUGCAGAAGCCAGUUUUUAUAAUCCUAGUGUUGGGAUUCUCUAAUGCUUAAGAACUGAUAAGAACGGCCCAACUAAGGUGACGGCCAAAAGCUUCUAGAACAAGGAUUACUCCUCACCAAGGAAGUAUGGGAUAGGCCCCAUAUUGUCCCAACUCCUCAACACCAGUAAUGACAGAACAAAAAAGAAAGGACCAAGUAGUUGUAGUCAGGUCCUUAAUCAAAAUACUAUUGAUGUAUGGAAGAGAGAGAAAACAAGGAAAGAAAGAGAGCGGUUGCCCAAGCUUACAAUAAAAAGUAAAGUUAAAGACCUUUAAGGAAGGUGAAUUAAUUUGGAAAACAGUUUUACCCUUAGGAGCUCAAAUAUGAAGCUUUGGGAAAUGGAGUCCUACUUGGGAAAGUCAUUUUGUUAUUCACUAAGCGCUGGAUAAGGGAGGGUAUUACUUGACAGAUUUGGAGGGAAACUUGCAAAAACAUCCAAUUAAUACCAAGUUUUAAAGAAAUACCAUCCAGCUUUAUGUAAUAGGAUAUAUUGUUAUACUAAGAGACCUAAGCGAGUUAGGAAGGUUUAGAGUCAGGUUACCAUUGGUAAAACUUCAAUGAAAAGCAAGAAUUCAGACAAGUGAAGAUGAAGAUGAAGUAUAUGUUUAUUUCAUGUAUAAAGGGUUACAAUUAAUCCUAGCCUAACAACUUUACAUCCUCGGACAGGGCAGCUAUUCUAGAAAAGUAAGUCUACAUAAUAGUGAAAAUUUUGCCUGGUUUUCGAAGAUACAUGUUGCUAUUGGUGAGUUGGUUUUUUGAGUCAUCCACUUCUUGAGAGAUCUUCUCCAUAUCCUCUACUUUCUUGGAAAGAUGAUUGGUUAAGCUCAUCUUCUCACCCUUAAGUGAAGAAAGUUGUUAUUCCAAUCUUUGGAUCUUAGAAUCAACAACUGCAAUCCUAUCUUCCAUCACCAAUCAUUCCUCCACCAACUGCUGGAGAGUAGCUGAGCUCUUCAUAUGUUUUUCUUGAUAGCACUUCACUCUAUUGGAAGCUCGCUUCGCCUUUUGAUGCUGGUCCUUUAAUGCCUGUAGGUUCUCAACAAAGUUUAAGAAAGACUCAUACUGAGCCUUAGACAAGGACUGUGCCUUGUAAAUUUCGGUUAGUGCCUUUUCUGCAUCAUGAAGAACCUUAAGGCUAAAGGAAGCUGAGAAGUCUUUCUUCAUCCAACUCUUAAAUGAAGCAAAUGGGGGAUAUUGCAGUUUGGUCUUGAUCUGCCCAAAUGUUUUUACCAUGUCGGGCAAUGACAAUGUCAAUGAAAUCGGGGGCAUAUCUCUCGCACCUUCAGUAAAAGCAGAAUGAGCUGCCUCAAAUGGGUAGAAAAGGUAGAGGAGCAAGAAUAGAAGUUGGAAUAGAAGCAGCAGCAAUGGUCUUGGCUUUCUUCUUAAGCCUAAGGAUAGGCGUCCCUGUGACCCCAGAAGCCAAAGAAGGACGAGGAAGUUUUGUCUUACGCACCAAAUGAGAGGGAAUUACCCGAGUCCUCUCCAGGGCCUUGUUGCAAACCAAAAAAGAUAAGUUGAUUAAAAUAAUUUACAAUUUAGACUAAAGGAAGGCAAAUAGGGAAAAGUUAAUAUACCUGAGCUAAAUCUGGAUCCUUAGAAGGAGGAGGAGUUACGUCUUUUGUCUGAUGUAAAAAAUUAUCCAUGCUUGCUCUGAAAUGAGAGAUAGUGCCUAAGCCUUCACCAAAAGCCUAUGAAAUAAAAAAAGAUAAGUAUCAACAGACUAACUUAUGCAGAAAAGAAAAACAUAAUAAGAAAAGCCUUCAUACCUUAGCAGGAUCUUGAGAAUGAGCGAGCGAGCUGGCCCGAACCACAGAUUGGGAAACCCGUGGGCUAGUCACCUCUGAGACCACGGAGAUCUCAGGGACUACGGGCCCCUCAAAUGUAGAUGUUGUUGGUCGAUGAGAGGUUGGUGCAGGAGAAGACUGAAAAGAGUCGAAAGAAAAUGAGUAUAAAAGGAGGAAAACUUCAAGUAUAGAAAUGUUAACAAAUACUCACCAAGUUAUUAUCCUCAUCUACAAAAUGCAACAUUUAUCCUGUUUUUGGAUUGAAUUAAGAAGUUGGGGUCACCACUAAUGCAGAAGCAGGAAUGGAGGACUUGAGAGUUGAGCCCUGCCCAAUUGAGGACACAGGAUCAUCAACCUUAAAUUGCGAAAGUAAAAGACAAGUGUUAAGGCUCUGAGAUUGGUAAAGAUACAAGUCUAAAGAAUGAAAAAGAAAUAUACCUUUGAGGACUUAGCAUGUGGAUGAGAAGUUUGUACCAUUCGAGCUGAAGAUGAAGAGGCCUCAGGUAGAGAGAUCAUUUCUUCCCUCAUGGCCUAUUUCAGAAAUCGGGCAGAGAAUAAAAAAGAGAUAGGAAAGAAGAAAAUGGGAGAACUCAAAGGAGUGAAAACUUAAGAUGCAAUUUAUACCUCCAGUUCUAUAAUGGUGGAUUCUUGCAGAUCCUUGGCUUUCUGAUACAUCUCGACCCCUAGUGGAUCUCCCCUUGAAACAACAGUUUCUUUUUUGGUUGCUCGAGGCCUUAAAAAGAAAAAAUGGCGUUGUCAACUCUUAUUUUCACAAAAUUAUGAAUAAGAAUGAAGGAGUAAAACAAGGUUUACUUACUGUGCCCUUGUUCUUUUCUUGGUGGGGGUUGUCCACGACUCAAGAAUGGAAGGCUGAGCCUGAGAUCGCUCUUCGGGUUCAGACAUUGAAGUUUCCAUUACAGUUGCCCAAGGCUCCAUUAUAAUUUCUACCUCACCCUCUGAGUCUCCAAGCAACUCGAAGACAUCUCUGCCCUUUCCAGCACCUUGCCUUUCUAUCUCAGUUGCGGCUUCUUGGAGGAUAAAGGUGUUGCUGCAUCUUCAUGUUACUCGACGACUAUCUCUGUAAGGAUUGGAGAAGGCAGAUUCAUAAGAAUUUCAAGUUAAAGAGUAAGAAGUACAUAUCAAAAUGAGUUGGUUUUUCUGAUGAAUCAUUUCCUUCCAGUUUUCAAGCUUAUUUGGGCUAUGAUAAGACUUGAUAGAGAGAUGCUUGAAGAGGCGAUCAUGGGCUUUGCACAAAUCGCCUUCAUACUUUUUGAUCCACUUUGUCUCCCACCAAGAAGCAAAGCUUGAAGUUCAUUCAAAAUUAAGGGCCAUAGGUUUUCUAGCAACCUUACUCAUGACCUCAAGACUGCGUCAGGCAGCUCAGACUUAUGGUGGAGAGUGAAGAAUGUAGGAGUUGCCACAUUGAACAGAGUCAAAGAAGGGGACUGGAAUGGCUUGUCUAAUGCCCAGUUGCCUACUACAGAAGUUUGGAUAAUAAACUUUUAACCCGCGCUCGUAGCGAUCACUCCUCACACCCCAAGUCAGAUCAUUCGAUUGGAUGCAGCUGAUAAAUCUCCCUCUACAAAAGGAACUAGCAUUUUCUCCAAAAGCAUUCUGGAAAGCUUGGUCAUUAAACCAAGGGUAUCUCCUUAAGACUGAAGCACCCCACUCUAGGUAUGCCUGAGUCCUACAGACUCUGAAGAAGUAUAGACAACAGAAUGUGGAAUGAUUUAUAAGAGAGGCUUAAGUUAGAAUUCGGGCAGGGGCCACUCCUUUGGGGAAUUCAAGAUUAGGAGCCUGAAGCUCAGGGAAAUAAUGUUGAAGCCACAACUGGAUCAUCCAAACAGGUCCAUUCAGGUCAGUCUCAAAUGGCUCUCCCCGAGCUAUCUCCAAAAAAAUGUGAUAGAGGUGAGAGAGGAGGAAAGGGCAUGUUGCCACAUCAUCCAAAUUGUGUAGAGCUUCCACCAGAAGGAUCCAUUCAACUUUUACUCCCUUGGACUUGUUUGGGAAGACGUGCUUAUUGAGCCAAUACAAUAGAAAGUACAUAUGCUCUUGUUCUCUGUUGACGUUGGAAGAAGAGGGGCCAAAUUCCUUUUUGGCAAACGAGAUAAAACCCUUGAAGGAAGUUCCAUAACUCUUGAAAGUUAUAGAGUUAUACUCUAAAUAAAGAAAGGGGGAAGGGUUGCUCGAGCUCUCAGCGGUUAGGCGAGAUAGAGGAGUCUAGUCGUGGGUAACGUCCAUAAUUCUGCCCGAAGACCUGCGCCAUUUCAAGGAUGGUAGGAGACAUGCCUAAAGUCAGAAGUGUUGGAGCCCAAGUUCCAGAAGAGGAAGGAUGUAGUAAGAAGCUAAGGCUUAACAUUCACGAUGGUCUUAAAGAGUAUUAUCAUCUCAUAAAUACCAUUGUUCAUCCAUUUUUGCUUGAAGGUUAGCUCAAGCUCAUUUAUCCAUUGCGUCCAUCCUUCAUCCUUCAUCAGAGGGAACCCACAACGAUGGUUUGACCAUUUGGAUAAGGAGAUGCCCAACUCGGCCAAAAAUGGGUUCGGGGUGAACCAUUUCUCCUUAGGCUUGUUGUUUUCAACAACAAUUGGGACCUAAAAAGUCCAUGGAAGUCCUAAGGAAUGCACUUCUCCAUCCUCGAAGAAAAGAGAAGUCUGUAGGCCUGGCCGAGGGCAAUGAAGGCCAUUGACCAAGCGGCGCAUGGUGGAAAUCCCCUCACCAAUUUCACUGGGAGAUUGAAUUCGAGCAACUUUGUGUGCCAUUGGAUGAUCUUGAGGAAAAGAUGGGAAGAAAAUUGGAAUUAGGGGGCAAAAAGAAAUUUCUAGAAAUUGUGAAAGUUCUGAUGAUUCUGGGAAGUUCUAGAAAUUUGAAGGCUUAAAAUGGCUAAGAUACUUUGCCGAGGAGGUUAAGUGAGAAUUAUAUAGUGAGUGGUUACUUAACGAUGGAGUUUGUGGGUUAGUGCAAGGAUUUAGUUAACAAACGGCCGCUUUAAAUGGUGCAAGUCUCGAGUAAAGGCGUGUGACGGCUGUUUAAUCAUUAUUAGCGACUUGGGUUGCUGACUUAACAAUGAUUAAAGGGGGCACUAUUUAGGUUAAUAUUUGAAAAUUGAGCUGCAAGAAUAAAGAAGCCCAAAGAUGCCAAUUAAAAAAAAGACUUGCCCGAAGCCCAGCACCAAGCCCAGAGACAAAUUGGCGCCUCCCCAUUAAUGCAUACACCAUGUGUCUAUGAUUUAAAUGUCAAGUGAUGGAGACUAACUCACAAUUAGCCAAAAAGCAUUUUUUUUUUUGUGGCAAUACAAGUAAAAAGAUGAUGAGUCACUACCCUCUAGAUGCUUUCGGGCAAAAGCAAAGUCAUAGCAGUCAGGCUAAUUCGCCUAUAAAAGGAAGAAGAGGCCCCAGAGACAAUGACACUCAACCAAUCAAACAAAAAAACAUACAAACUCUGCUCUCAAGCCAGAUUUGCAUCCAAAAGCUGAAAUUAACCCAGAUUCAGUCCUUUUAGCGACAAGCUAUCUUUCUCUCUAGUUUAAAAGCUUUGAUAUCUCUCUUAGUGGCAUAAUAUCAAUUCCCUUGUGUAAACAUGUUUACCAUCCACCCCUUUUUAGCAUACAAACCCUUGUAAUCACAAAGAGAAGUGAUCGCAAGAAGUUCAACCUUGACAGACAAGGUAAAAUCUUGCCCGAAGCUCUUUGUUUGUUUUCUGAAUUUGUAGAUCUAUUACGUAAUGCAUUCCCCAGUAUGUAUUCAAGUCAUCUCCACCUAUUGUCCUACUUUAAGAGUCCCAUUUGCAUCUGGAUCUAGUUAGUUUAAUGGAUAGGAUAUCAUUAAAAAUCAAUCAAGAACCAAGCAAACGGCUAAAUGGCUUAAAGGGGAUCCAGACUCCCUUCAUACGAACAUACAAGAUUAUGAACUAAAAGUCCUUUGUCACAAGGCAAGAAAAAGAACUUAAUGUGGACUUAACAGAUAGAUUUGUCUUUUCAUGUAUUUCUCUGUUUGGUUAGCAAUACUGUGGAUGCUUAUGGGGGUCGGGAUAUGCUUGCUUGUCCUUUGUGUGAAUAAUGCUGUAUUUCUGUUUGAUGACUAGGAGGUCAGUAAGAAAGAGAAUUGCCUUUGGGUUUUAUUUAUUUGCCUGUUGAUAACUUGGGAUGCACUCCUUUUAUUGGUUUUAGUAACUUGGGAUUUCUCUGCAGUAAAAUUUUAUAUGGAUUCGAGCUCAUUAACAAAACCUGUGGAACAUUGCUUUGUAGUAGAAAAUUUUACAAAUUGCCUUUUGUGUAUUUGACUAUAUUAGUAUAUUUACACAUAAUACUUGUGUGCUUAUGUAAUUCUAUAUGGUUUGUAUCCCUUCCUAUGGUACGUGUAUUUUGUAAACGCCAAGGAAACUUUCGUACUCUUGUAGCCAUUGGCUCCACAGUUUUAUUUAGUUGCUGGAUAUACAUUUUUGAGUGAGAGACGCACAUGUUUUAGCUACUUAUAUGUGCUUGUAGCUAUUUACAGCUUUGUCAAUUUGUAGACAUUUUUGAGUGAGAGACGCAGAUAUUUAGUUGUUGAACAACAGUUUGUAUUUUAUACUAAUUUACCUUUAAUGUAUCUGAGUUAUGACCUCUAAAUUCCUUUAUCAAGCAGUCGUGCAUUCUGGGUGGAUCUCUCAAGAAGGGGCGAUGGAUGGUUUCUUUCUGAUUUUUUAUGUUUCUUUUGCAAGAUCUCAAGUUCUAUUCAUGUUACAAGAGCAUACUUAUUACGUUUGUUUUUUCCUUUUGUCAGGAGUUCAGAGGUUAUGUAUUUAAAAUUAUGGGAGGAUGUGAUAAGCAUGGCUUUCCUUUGAAGCAAGGAGUGUUAACCACAGGCCGUGUUCGCCCUUUGCUCCAUAGAGGUAUGUUAUUUUAUACCAAUUUGUCUGUGAUAGUGAGAGGGAGAUGAUUAGCGAGAUGGGGGCAGUUGAUUGAGAAUUCCGGUUGUUUCCUCUAUAUUGCUAAUUUGUAGACCUCUUGGUUUCAACUUUUGGGCAAUGUAACUGACUGAUGUAUUUUGUUUGCUUAGGAACCCCAUGCUUCCGUGGGCAUGGAAGGAGGAAUGGGGAACGAAUAAGGAAAUCUGUUCGUGGAUGCAUCGUCAGUCCAGACCUCUCUGUUCUGAACUUGUUAUUUGUUGGAACACCCAUUGUCCCACAUCAGCCAAGAGGGAAGAGAGAAAACAUUUUAAAUAGAAUUAUCUCACUCUAACUAACAUUGAGGUCUUUUGUAAUAAAACUCCAUACCUGAGGAUUGUGCAGGUGGUUAAGUGGUGACAUUAUCGAUGUUGUUGAAGUGGACCCUCAGCCCGUCAACUUAAAAAAUUCUACAUGAUAUCAGAGCCAGUGGACAGGCCUGUAUUGUUGGAACACCUAUUGUCCCACAUCGGCCAAGAGGGAAGAGAGAAAGCUCAGAGGCAGCAGAGUACCAAAAGCUCCUUGCUUCAAGCUUGAAGGAGCAGCGAGAGCGCCGUAGUGAGAGCUUAGCCAAGAGGAGAUCAAGACUCUCUGGUGCUUCCAAGCCAUCUGUUACUGUUUAGAUCGCUGGAGCAUGUGAGGUUUUCAUCAAUGAGUCAAAGCGGAGGGGCAUCAUAGAUGGUUUAAGGUAUUUUAGGUUGUUUACGAUGGAUGUCGAACAUGUUGAAGUGGUUGGCAUUUCCAAUUUUGUUGCGGUAUUCAUGUUUGAUUGUCGGUGGUUGACAUCUCUCUCGGUGUUUCUCAGUUGUCCUCUAUUGUGCAAUCUCUCUUAGCAUAUGCUCCAUAUUAAUUUUUUUAGCUGAUCGAAGUGGGGAACCCGUAGCUGCAUUACCAUGUAGAGUAUCGGUCUCUUUGGCCGCCGUUGAUUUUUGAAAAAUGAGAAGUAGCGGAGAAGAAAAUUUCUGUUUAGGAAAGGGUUGGCCCUUAAUUGUGUUAUGGUAUUGUGUUAUUUUGCGUCUGUGAUGUGGGAGUCUUGAUAUGGUAUGGUGAUAUCUUGGCACAUGGAAUUCACCAAAAUAAAAGGUCUAGCAAGGAAUAUGUGAAAAAUGUUGCUUUCUGCACAAUGAAGAAAAAAUAGGGUUGUCUUCAAUAUGAAUUUUAGUUUGGGACUAGUCCGUGAAAUAUAAGGUGAAGAUUGAAGAAAAGUUUCUUAGCUUCGCUGCUCAUUUCUCCGAUCUUUUUAGUAGUCCAGGACUACUGAAGCCAUUCGUUCUUAUUUGGCAACAUAUCAUUUUUUUUAACAAACGAUAUUAUCUACAUUAAAUGGGAGGGAGGUGGACUUCGCUUUACAAUGGGCUAUCAAUAAUGUGAUUCAAAUUUUCCUUUGACGAGAAUCGAACUUAAGACCUUUUAACUGUCAUAGUUUGAAUCAUUCUUUAUCAUGACGCUAAGGUCAUUUUUAUAAAUGUUUACUAUCGUCAACUUGUUUGACAAAGUGGUUUCAAAAUCAAAUGAAACUAUCUCAAAAUUAAAUGAAAUUUUCUAGAGAUGAUGUUUAGACAUAAUACAGAGGAAGAGUUGACCAAACCGUUUUAAAAUCAAAUGAAACGGUCUCAAAUUAAAUGAUACUUUUUAAGAGACCGAGUGUAUUCAGUUGAGAUUUUAAUGGAUUUAUAAAUCCAUGGAGUUUAAUUCAUUUUUUAGAGAUUGUAUGAAUUUUUUUAUUCAAUUCCCUCGAAAUUUUAUGAAUUUUUUUAUUCAAUUCUCUCGAAAUUUUAGAGGGAGAGGUGAGAUUUAUUAAUGCUUAAAAUACACUACAAAAUCUCUUUGUUCUCUCAAAUUCCUCAACUUUAAAAAAAAAUCUAAUUGAAUACACAUGGAAUGCUAUAAACUUUUUUAAAAUCAUAAUUGAAUACACCCGAAUUUCUGAAAGAUUUUAAUAAACUAUCUUAAAAUUCUGAUUAAAUACACGUUGAAUUUCAGACAAUCACUUAAAAUCGUGAUUGAAUACUCCUAAAUUUAUUAAAAUAAUUAAAAUUCCUUAAAUUCUCAAUUAAAUACAUCCCCAAAAUAUAAAUUAUGACGUUUGUAUAGUGAUUUGAUAUCACAUUGUCUCAUAAAGAGGAAUGACUCUUUUCAAAGCGUCUUGGCUGAUUUGGCUCAUGCUAAAUUUGUUCAAAUCCGUCAGGGUGGUAAUGGUGUGGCUCAUAGACUAGCCAAGAUGGAUUUUGUUAUCAAUUUAAAUUGUACUUGGUUUGACCAGCCUCCGCAAUUUAUCCAGGAUAUUCUUGUUGAUGAUAUUUCUUCUUAAUUAUCAAUAAAAUGCUAUUGUUUUGCUUAAAAAAAAAAAAAAAAAAAAAGAAGUCAAACAAUGUGCUUAUGAGAAAACAAUGUCCUUAUGGGAAAGACAAAGUAUCAAAAUUUAAUUCAUUGAAGGCAUUUAAAGAAACAAUUGUCUCAUUUGUUCAUGUCUUUAUACAAACGUUACGAUUCCUUCAAUUCUCUUGCAUGUGUUGGCAAUCGCAGGACGAUGACUAUUAACCACCCGGCAAUUUGUUCUCACCUCCCCAGCCUGCUCAACCUGCAAAUCUCCCAUCUUUAUCAUCCCCUCAACAAAGGCCUUGAAAAACUCUUCUUGGUCACUGCUAAACUGCUCUACAAAUCCCCUCGUUUCCGGAAAUGUGAAAAGCGUUUGAUCCGAAUUGAGAAACCCUCUCCCGGAAACCAAGUCCUUGAAGUACUGGUUGUCAAACACUACAGGCGUAGCAUCUAGGUCUCCAGUGACGUUUUGGUCCACGUUUAAAGGGCAAAGCUUGUUUAGCUUUUCUGUAAACUUUGGUUCAAUGGAGGGGUCUGGCCGGCCAGUGCCGGAUUGGUUGUACAGCCGAAACAUGAUUGAGAAACACCGAGCUUGGCCAAUGGAAUGAGACCCAGAAAGGGCAACAAGAUCUUCAGCCGAAAGAUUAAAUUUGGCAAAGAGGUCAAUGAGGAAGGUUGCAUUGGCUCUUGGACUUGGCAUAACGUUGUCUGACGCUUCCUGGCUAGCUGAUAAGCUAUCCAAUCUUCCUAACUUCACUUCCCAAUCAGGCCCUCCAGUCUGUUUAACACAAAUUAUGUCAUUACAUCUUUAUAGAUUGUCGAUUAUACAAGUGGGAUUCUAUUGAGACAUCUUCUAACAUUGUGAAGAGAAAUUUAUUAAAUCGAGCAAUUAGUAGUAUUUUGAUCUGUGUAAAUAGAAGAGAGUGCAAUACCAGGGCAACAACAUCUCUAGAGGCCAUGAUUAUGAUGUCUGCACAAGAAACAACUCCCGGACAGACCUUCUCUAGGGCUUCUUUUGCUUCAUCAACAACCUCGUAAGAUCUCAAUGAAUUUAUGUUUGCAAGGGCUAGUUUUUCUCCAAGGAUGGUUGGUGUGUCGUCAAGUAACAUAGAUGCAUCACAACCCUACAGUAUAUGUAUGUUAAAUCGAUCAAAAGGGAAUAUAGUAUUUGUGUAUGUAGUUUUUACUUACAUUGACAAAGCAAUCAUGGAAUUGGAAGCGCAUGACAGAGGCAAGGCUCCGGGGUUCUCUGAUCAAAGCCACCUUCAUGACAUCUCGGACCACAGAUUCGGCCUGCGGACAUGUUUCAGAGUAAUAAUGAGGUCGGAGUUGCACGGCGGCCCCGAUUAUUAUGUACUGUAGGAGGAAGAGAGAAAAGAGGGAAGUCAUUGAAGUUUUCAGACAAUACUCUCUAGUAGGCAGAUUUGUGUAUGAGUUGGUUCAAAUUAGAGUUGCACAUGGGGCUUUAUAAACUUGUUGGAUGCCUCAUUUGCAUGUAUGGAUAAAGGGAAAUAAUUAAAUGCCCACUGUUUUUCUCUUUCUGGACACCUUACUUUAUUUUAGUCAUUUGAUUGAACAAAUCGAAAGAAAUUAAAAGCCAUAAUUAAAUAGGUGUGGUGAAAAAGAAGGGUAUAAAACAUGUCUAGAUAAAGUGUAUGUGAAACGUUAUUUCCUAGUGUCGGUGUUCUUUUUUUUCUUUUUCUUUUUUCAAAAGGAGGACAACUGGUGGCAAGUCACAAUUAUCCACCUCUACCGAGUUCGGAUGGGCUAUGGGGAAUUUCACCCUACUCGUGGCCACAAUCAAGCAGAUUCACCAGAAACAGAGAUUACGCUAUCUCCAACUAUAUAUAUAUAUAUUUAUAAUUAGAAGUUAGUAUAACAUUAUAUUUGACUCCAAAUAUGGUGCUACAAUUUAGCUUAAAUUUCACAACUCAGAGUUUAAAUUUAUUUAAAGUAGAACCUAAUAGUCAUGCAAAUGCUAGUCCAACCAAAGAGACUACUGUUUGAAAUUCGAAUUGCAAAUUUAUUGUUUAUGGUGAUUGAUGAGAAUAAGACCUAGUGGCUCGAGAAUAGCCUUUUAAACCGACCAAGAAAAUACUUUUUUUUUUUUUUUUUCAGGAUACCAUUUAGGGGAAUUAUACCUUCUUAGGCAGGUUUGAACGUUUGAAAUUACAACUCAAAUAUUUCCCACCAUUAUUUUGUUCACGAUGAUAUGAAUGGUUGGGAAUAUAUCAUGACACAACUUUCUGAUUAUAUUAUUUGGAGGUAUAUAUAACAAUCAUUUGUGUAGAGAGAGUAACCUAAUAUAACUAAUUAGGAAUCUUACUAAUUAUAGAAUACUAUAAAAGAAAGUAAAUCAAUACAAAUCAAUCGUGCAACUAUCAUAACAUUCUCUCACAACUUGGUGAAUAGAUAUCAGUCAUGGUCAACUUGACAAGUGAGCUGUGAAAUGCUUGGCUCAAUACUACUUUUAGUGAGUAAAUCUCCUAGUUGAUAUUCGGACUUCAUAUGUGGGACUUCGAUAACUUUUAAUGUUGAGCUAGAUUACGAGCAAAAUUGCAUGCCACUUCAUUGUCACAAUACAACGUCAUUAAAUCCCUGUUUGAAAACCAAAUCUCUCAUUAAGCUUCUAAUACAGCCAACUUUUAUCAUUUUGCUUUGCCAAAUAACAAGAUUCUUCCUACCAAAAUGAAAUGAAACACCUUUAGUCAAUUGAUCCAGCUCAAUAUGCAUAUGUAUUAGGGAAAACUAAUGAAAAGUACCUCAAAUCUUUACAUUUUAAUAAAAAAACUACACACUAAUUUUAUUUAACCAUAAGGACAAAAGACAAAAAGGGGGAAAGAAAUAAACCUAACAAACCAAACUUGCGCUGGGGUGUGUACCCUCUACCUUACCACGUGUAAGUGAUCUGUUUGCAGAACAUCCAAUUUUUUGAAAACUUGGAUUUCAACUUCGAAUUUUUGUCUAAUUCUACACUUUUUGUUGCCAAAAGCAUGUUGAUUUCACUUGGGGUUUUCUGAAAUUAGUUGAUUGUCGUAGUGGCUGGAAAGUGUUUGAUGAUAUGCCUCUGUGAGAAUUUGAUUAGGUGUUUGGGAAGGGCAACUUAUUUUUCUCUAUUGGAUCGGACCACCGCCUAGAGGAGUCACUACUAUGGCGUGCAAGCGUAAGCUCCAGGCAUCUACAAGUUGUGAAUCUGAAGGAACUUGCUCUAAAAGUGGAAUGGACAGAUUUAGUGAUCUUCCGGAGGUAGUUGUUAAUCGUAUUCUUUCCUUCCUCAAUUUCAAAAACCUCACUCGAGUGGGUGCUGUAUCCAAAAUAUGCAGACAAUUUCGUCUCUCAGUUCUGGUGGUGAAUUUUGGUACAGAUGAGUGGACAGGCAUAAAAAAGUGGAUCUAGGGAGGAUGAUGACUUCUUUUGAUCAAUUCGAUCCAUGAAGAAAGUUUAUUGGGAACUUUCAAGAAGAGGAGAAAAGAAUAUAGUACCAUUAAGUUUCAUAAACAGGGUAGUAAGUUUCAUAAAUAGUGUCUAAGUUUCAUAAACAGUGUAGAAGUUUCAUAAACAGUGUGAGGACGCGUGGGUCCAUGUGUUAGAUUAUUUUUUUAAUAUUAAAAUUAUGUCUUUUUUUAUUAAAAUUUAAGUUAUUUUGUCAUUUUUAUUAAAAUUUAAGGGGUUUUCAUUAAAAUUUAAGUCUUUUUAAUUAAAUAAAGUUAUAGCAUGGUUUUUUUAUUAAAAUAAACUUAGUCCAAACCCUUUUCAUAAAAGUUCGCUAUGUAUUAACCUUUACCAUUCAAGCUAUCAUUUCUUGGUAACUUUAUUUCAUUUUCAAGAGAAGACUUCAAGUACCUUAAUAUACAAACAACGACAUCAUAAGUACAGCUAUGAUUCACUUCCAUGUGACUUAGCUUAAGUCCAAGUGUUACAGUUUAAUUGUACAAUAUAUUGACUAAAGUUCUUGGAUUGGAUCGGAACCGACAAUAUUUUCUGGUCUAAAAUACUGUAAUUCAAGUGUGUGUUUGGGCCUUAAAUUCUAGGUUUGGGCUGAGAAUGAAUAAACUUGGUAAGAAGAUGCAAGACUCGGCCCAUUACUGAACUGUUCAUCCCAGGUGAUGGAGUACUCGUCCCAAAAGUCAAACGCUAGUGGUUUGACCAAAUCCUAGGAGAAGUAGGAUUGUUGGAAGAUCAGGAUUAGAUUACGUUUCAGUUGAGUCCUUAAUGAAGUAGGACUUUUGAAGCAUCAAGAUGAUUUUGAUAAGAUUCUAAUUGAAUUAUUCUAAGGGUCAAAAUUGUUGGCUGAUUGGAUAAGGUAUGAAUUAAACACGUAAGGGUACUAAGUUAGAGUCCUAGUUCAAGUCGAAGGGCGAGACUUGAUAGGGGUAGAGUUUCACCAGAAGAGGGACUUAUCAAGAUAAUGCUAAAUGCAUCUAGAUAUUUACUAUGCAUCAUAGUCCAGGUAGAAUUCUACUGCUUGGUAGGCUUGGCCAUCAAGGAAUUCAUCUGUAUAUAUACAAGAGGAUUUUCAAUGUUGAAAUGACCUUGAACUCAUUAAACACACAAUGCUCUUCACAAAACCUCUCACACUUUGAGAAAAAUAUUAAUUGCUCUACUAUUUGUCAGUACAAAUACAGUUUGGUUAAACAAAUUUGGGUUGAUAUAUAUGCGGACGACUGACGGUUACAUUUUGAUUAAACAAAGUUUUCCAUAGGUAACCAGCGUAGGUGAUAGUUUGGUUAAAGAACACUAGAGUUAUGGAAUUAGUUCAGUUUAUGAGUCUUAACAGAUUGGUUAAACAUCAAGUUUUCUUUUUUCUACUAAUUAUCUAUCUUAAGUCUCAGCUGUUGCAGAGUCUUGGAUUCUUUCCUUGAACGAGGUAACUUCAUUAGCUUUCUCGGCAAAAUGAAGUGUUCUAUGACUGUAUAUUCUCAAGUGACAUUCAGGCAGCCAAACCACUUUCACCAUAUAGUUUGCUCCUACAGUUUGAUACAAAUUUUGUGCAUGUAUAUUUUAAAAAAUAUAGUUGAAGUUGCUAACCUUGUGCAGAGGAUCCAUAACUUAACAGCGAUCUGCAUAAUCUUGUCUUCAGGUUUUAUGACUUAGGUCGUGUGUGUUCCUUCCAUGACCAAGGCCUGUUGAUUCAGAUGUCAGAAGCGUAUUUUAUCAUACCACUACACCUAGAGGUAUUAGUCCGUGGAGCUCAGAGCGAAAUUGGCAUGGCCGCAUCAAUAUUCAAGGACACGGAAGAACGUAGUAAACUUUUUGCACUCGACCUAUGCACCACAUAAAUUGUGUAGCUUUUAGGGUCAACAGUACUAUGAAAUUUAAUUAGAUUUGUGCAAAUUUAAUCUUCAAAUGAUACCAAUGAUGAUAGGAAUGGACAUCAUUAUUAAGACUAUUUAGGUUUGAAUUAUUCACAUCUUGUAGUUGUUUCGGACAAAAUACAAGAAAGAAGAGCCUCAUGUAGAGGUCGGUUCGAAAAACCAAAAAUAAAAAAAUCGAAUUGAACCGAAGUUAUUUGGUUUAAUUUCAAUUUCCAUGGUUUGAAAACUGAACGAAACCGAAGUUACACUAAACGGUUUUGGGAGACUUUUCGCACUAAGUGGGGUCGGCUAUAUGAAUCCUAGAACGCCAUUCCGCUCGGUUCUGUGUCAUGUCCUCCGUUAGAUCCAAGUACUCUAAGUCUUUUCUUAGAGUCUCUUCCAAAGUUUUCAUAGGUUUUCCUCUACCCCUUUGUCUUUGGACCUCUGUCCCGUAGUUACAUCUUCUAACCGAAGCGCCAGUAGGCCUUCUUUGCACAUGUCCAAACCACCGUAACUGAUUUUCUCCCAUUUUUCCUUCAAUUUCGGCUACUCCUACUUUACCUCGGAUAUCCUCCCUAAUCUUAUAAUUUCUUGUGUGCCCACACAUCCAAUGAAGCAUCCUCAUCUCCGCCACACCCAUUUUAUGUACGUGUUGAUGCUUCACCGCCCAACAUUCCAUGCCAUACAGUAUUGCCGACCUUAUUGCCAUCCUAUAAAAUUUUUUCUUGAGCUUCAGUGGCAUACGGCGGUUACACAACACGCCGGAUGUACUCUUCCACUUCAUCCAUCUAGCUUGUAUUCUAUGGUUUAGGUCUCCAUCUAGUUCUCCGUUCUUUUGCAAAAUAGAUCCUAGGUAGCGAAAGCGGUCGCUCUUUGGUACUUCUUGAUCUCUGAUCCUCACCCUAACUCAUUUUGGCCUCCAUUUGCACUGAACUUGCACUCUAUAUAUUUUGUCUUUCAUCGGCUUAGGCAAGGAUCUUUAGAUUCCAACACUUCUCUCCAAAAGGUUAAGCUUCGCAUUUACCCCUUCCUGAGUUUCAUCUAUCAACACUAUAUCGUCUGCAAAAAGCAUACACCAAUGAAUAUCAUCUUGAAUAUGUCCUGUUAACUCAUCCAUUACCAAUGCAAAAAGGUAAGGACUUAAGGAUGAGCCUUGAUAUAACCCAACAGUUAUGGGGAAGCUAUCGGUUUGUCCUUCAUGAGUUCUUACAGCAGUCUUUGCUCCAUCAUACAUAUCCUUUAUAGCUUAGAUAUAUACUACUCGUAUUCCUUUCUUCUCUAAAAUCCUCCAAAGAAUGUCUCUUGGGCCCUAUCAUAUGCUUUUUCCAAAUCUAUAAAGAUCAUGUGUAAAUCCUUUUUCCUAUCUCUAUAUCUUUCCAUCAAUCUUCAUAAGAGAUAGAUUGCCUCCAUGGUUGAGCGUCCUGGCAUGAACCCGAAUUGGUUGUCCGAAACCCGUGUCUCUUGUCUCAAUCUAUGCUCAAUAACUCUCUCCCAGAGCUUCAUUGCAUGACUCAAUUGCUUAAUACCCCUAUAGUUCAUGCCCCUUAUUGAAACCCUAAUUUAGAAAUUAAAGUUUUGGAGUAUAUUUUUAAUGAGCGUGAGAGUUGGAUUUUGAGAGACUUGACAGAAAUGGCGGUUAGUGUUUAUAUGGCGUUGAGUCUUGAUAGAGCGACAGGAAGGUCGUGGAAAUUAUGUUGGAUGAGUUCUUGUUCCUGGAUUUUUUGACUUGUCAGCUGUAUCCUUGUCCUAUUUAUAUCAUCAUUAUAAUUUUUGGAGCUUUGUGGCUUUCUUUUUCUUGUGGUAAUUGUUUUUAACCUUUUUGUUAAUGCAUCCAGCAAUAUUCCAUUUGAUUUCUGUUGGUGAGAAAGCGGUCUGUGAGUUAUGUUUUAUAGGCGAAUGUCGAUUAGUUUUGAUAAAUUCUUCAUCGUGUGAUAUACGAAAAAGGAUUGCCUUGUGUAUAUAUAUAGAUAUAUAUUAUAUGGAACACAUGUGAGACUUUAGCUGGAAUUGUUAUUUUUUUUAUAAAGUCUCGAUGGAGCAUAAAGUUUUCUACAACAUUGAUGCAUUAUAUAUCAUAUAUAUGAUAUUGAUAUUUAUUUUCUCACUGUCCAAUCUCCUCAAGAACCCUAGCUAGAAUUCAUUGGGAAAAUUAGAAGAAUGACUAUUAACCACCCUGCAAUUCUUUCUUACUUCCCCAGGCUGAUCCACCUUCAAGUCACCCAUCUUUAUCAUCCCAUCCACAAAUGCCUUGAAAAAUUUUCCUUCAUCAAUGUUGAACUGCUUCACAAAUCCCCUCGUUUCCGGAAAGGUGAAAAGCGUUUGAUCUGAGUUGAGAAAACCUCUCCCGGCAACCAAGUCCUUGAAGUACUGGUUAUCAAAGCCUACAGGCGUAGCAUCUAGGUCACCUGUAACGUUUUGGUCCACGUCUAGUGGGCAAAGCUUGUCUAGCUUUUGUCUAAACUUUGGUUCAAUGGCAGGGUCUGGCCGGCCACUGCCAGAUUGGUUGUACAGCCGAAACAUGAUGGAAAAGCACCGAGCUUUGCCGAUGGAGUGUGAACCCGAAAGCGCAACGAGGUCUUUAACAGAGAGAUUAAAUUUGGCAAACAGGUCAAUGAGGAAUGUCGCAUUGGAUCUUGGACUUGGCAUAAUGUUGUCUGAGGCUUCUUGGCUUGCUGUUAAGCUAUCCAACCUUCCUAACUUCACUUCCCAACAAGGCCCCCCUGUCUAAUAAUUACAUAAUCAUGUUACAUAAAAUCAGAAUUAUACUUCUUUCAAUCAUAGUUAAGAUUCUCAUCGUUCGCUUGGUACAUGACAUUGGAGGUCAAUAUGGAUUAGACGAUACUAACUGUAGUCAAGUCCAACACAGUGUGUGAAAAUCUUAGGCAUGUUUGACAAUCAUUUUACUUCAGUUAUCAGUUUUUUAGUAACUGAAAACUAGAAGUCAAAUUUUGAAAACUCAAACAAAGUAGCGUUAAAUUUUCAAUUGUUGAUAAAGCUAAUCAAAUGGACCUUAAAACUUAUGUUGGACUCAAAAUAUGUUCAUGUAUAUAGGAGAUAAUAAGAAAGUUUAUUACCAGAGCAACAGCAUCUCUAGAUGCCAUGAUUAUAAUGUCUGCGCAAGAAACAACUCCCGGGCACACCUUCUCCAAGGCUUCUUUCGCUUCGUCAACAACUUCGUAAGAUCUCAGUGAAUUAAUGUUUGCAAGGGCUAGUUUUUCUCCUAGCAUGGUUGGUGUGUCGUCAAGCAACAAUGAAGCAUCACAACCCUAAUAUAGAGAUAUAAUACCAAGUUAAUUAAUUCAUCAUUAACAACGAACUAUUAGGACUAAUCAAUUAGGAAGUAAAUAAUGUUGUGAUUUAUGGUCCACUUACAUUGACAAAACAAUCAUGGAACUGUAAGCGCAUGACCGAGGCAAGGCUCCGUGGCUCUCGAAUCAGAGCUGCCUUCAUGACAUCUUGGACAAUGGAUUCGGCUUUCGGGCAGGUUCCCGAGUAAUAACCAGGGCGGAGUUGCGCUGUGGCCCCGGUUAUUAUGAGUAGGAUGAAGAGUGAAAAGAGAAGAGCCAUUGAGAAUUCUCGAGUCACUAGUGACUGGAGGCAGGUGGGUAAUUGGUUCAGUUGUGUGGGGGGUGGGGUGCUUUUUAAACUCGUGGGCUGCAUCAUAUGCAUGUACAGAGAUUUAGUAGAAAGAAACAAUGGAUGUGAAAUGAUUCAUUCCGUUUCUACCCCAAAAAAAAAAAAAAAUAGAAAAAAAAAUAGCUCUUCUCCUGAAUUUAUGGAAACUGCAGGAUUUAAAUAUAUACAGUAAAUUGGAGGUUGACUGGAACGGUCAUUGAUUGGACUAAUCUAGAAAGGUGGUGAGGAUUAGUCAAAAUAAUGAAGUUACACUAAUUAGCUUACCAAAACCCAAUAGAGGCGGGAUAUGGUGGAAUCCUUCUCAGCUUAUUGCAUAUUGAAACAAGUUUUGAUAGCCUUUUUUCCACUUCAUGAACUACAAGUCAUUUCAGUCACUUAAUAUUAUAUUUUAGUAAUAUUUUUCUUCACUUAUAAGUGUAAUAACGGAUUGAAUAUCUUGAAUAACGAAUUUUAUCUCAAUUUAUUUUCUUAGUCUUAUCAUUGUGUUUAAACGAAUCACAUAUAAAACUAGUUAGCUUACAGUCGAAAAUUUAUCUAAUCAUAUUUGAUUCAACAAUUUAACUGGGACGUACAAGAUAUUAAUGUAAUAAUGUAGCGUCUACAUCACAUGUGGUUUGUAUGAUAAAGAAAAUAAGAGAAUUUAUACUAACUUAAAAAGUUGAAGUUUUGGUCAAAUGCGGGACUCAUAAAUAGUCACUUUAGUGGUCCUUAAUCCUUAUCCAAUCCAAAACAGUAAAUCUUAAAAAUAUUCCAGAUCGUCAAUAGUGGGGCACGUUGACAAUUGUGGAUAUGUAUCCCAGUUCACAGUUGACACACUUUCGGCUUACUAUUCCUGAAGUCGGCAUUAUUUAUGGUAUUCAUCUCCCAACAGCAUCUGAGCUAAAAGUAGAAGAUUAACAAUCACUAAUUCCUUUUUUACUAUCAAUUCUUAUCUUACUAUGAAUGGAUUGAUUCUUUAAUAAUAAUAAAGAAUUAAUUAUACUAUUAUCUGUAAUUAUAUAAGUUUGUGCUCAAGUUAGAUAUAUAUUGUCGGCUCAUUGCGUAAAAGCUUGAAGGUUGUCUAACACGGUAUUAUAGUCUCGCAUGCACCAAUGUGUUUCGUUUCUCUCUAUCUAUAUGUUCGGCUCUCCACGUGCAGGUGAGACUGCUUGUGAGGAUUGUUGUGACUGGCGGUUCAUUGACGAAAAUUACGUGAAUUUUACUAGGUAAAAUGAUUCGUGCCAAUUAUGGGCUGAGGAUUUUUAUUGGUGAUAUAUGUAAAAGACAUAGGAAGGGUGGGAGAUGCAGUAGUUCUCCAGCUCUUAUAUGUAUAAAGUUGUGAUAAAAGAUAGGGUUAUUUAGAUAUAAACUCAUGCAAUACUUAUUUUCUUAACAAUAACUCAUUUCAUUUUAAACAUCCAAAUAAAAUUCAAAUUUGAAGUAGACUGCCAUGUAAACAAAUAAAUACCUAUUAUUUUCAAACUAUUUACAAUUGUGCCACAACACUCUAAUUAUGUUAAUUUAAUUAUUCACCAUAAUUGUGAGAAAUAAGUGCCUUAUUAUUAUAAAAUUAUCUACUUUAUACUUCUCUUACCAUCAUAUGUUUCAUUUCUUUUAUUUUGCAUGUAUGUGUUAUAGACACAUUUUGUUAAAAAUUAUAUAUAUGCAUACAAAUAAUUUAUCUAUAUUUUUAUGUAAAAUAAUAUGUAAUUAAUUAAUUUGAAUCAAUUGGCUAAAAACAUUUAUGUAUUUUGUAGGUAAAUUUUUUUUUUCAUGUGAUAUUACAUAUAUGCUAGCCACAUUUUGUUAUUAUUAUUUAGAGUGUGCAAUCAAUCGACAUUUUUUUAUUUUGUAGGUAAAUUAUUUUGCAUGUAGGUAAAUUGUUUUAUAUAUAUAUAUAUAUAUAUAUAUAUAUAUAUAUAUAUUUCAAAAUAUUGGUAUUUAAUUAAUUUUGAAUAAAAAAUAUUUAUUUAUUUUGUAGGUAAAUUAUUUGCAUGUAUCAUUACAUAAUUUACUAGGAACUAAUAUUGUUAUAUAUGUUGUGCAAAAUAAUUUACCUAUGUUACAUUUAAAAUAUUGAUAAUUUUGAAUAAAAUAACUUUUUUAUAUUGUAGGAUAUACUAAUUUACCUGUUAGCAUCAUGUGAAAACAACUAUAUAAGGAACAUUGGUAUCAUGUAAAUUUUUGCUAUUAAAUGCAUAGGAAUCAUGACAUUAAAUUUUUUUUUCCAAUUCCCCAUAAGGUAUUUGAACAUUUAAUUGAAUGAAAUAAUGUAAAAUAAAUGUAGAUAAUAAUUGAGAGACCCAAAGUAAAGUGUUAUUAGGGGUAAUUUAGACAUCCAAAAAUACAAAUUUUGCCAAGUCAAACUUAAUUAUGGAUAUUGCUUAGUUGGAGCCUAGUCAUUGGGUUUUUGUUAGAGAAAUUUAUCAUGAUGGGUUUUAAUUAAAGAAAAUUGAAUUUCAAGGGGUGUACUCAUAUUUUCAGUAAAAGAUAUAGGAAGGGUGAGAGAUGUAGUAGUUCUCUAGCUCUUAUAUGUAUAAAGUUGGUGCAGACCCUUUAUGCAAAGGGAUCUCCAUUUUUUUCAAAAAAUAGGGAUUAGGUGUGAGGUUCACUCCACAUUGAACUUCAACGAUCCGAACUGUCUAUUUUGUAAGUCUCGAUUCAUAGAUCAUCUUUGCAAAAAUUCAAUUUAAUCCGAAACUAUUGGCCUAUUUAAUUAUCAAGAUAAAAUUUCAUUAUUUUUUAUAUAACAAUGUAUUCGUUAAUUUCUUUAAACCCAAUUAGAUGUCUUAAACAUUUCUGAUUUGACUAAUUUUUUGUAAGGAUGAUCUAUGAGGUGUAACUUGAAAAAUAAAUCGUUAAAGUUUGAUGUAGUGUGGACCCACAACUAAUCCCCAUUUUAAAAAAAAAAAAUGAUGGUCCCCUUCCAUAAAAGACUUCCUAAAGUUGUGAUAAGUCAUCAGUUCAUUUAUUUAUAUAUUUGUUCAUGAGCAAAUGUAUUGCUUCGUGACUCUAUGCUCCAUUUUCCCUUGGUGUAUGCUGCGUCAAGUUGAAAAACACUUCAAAUGUAUUAAUUCUGGCCGAUGCGUGCCUGUAGGAAGGUUGACCACUGCAUAAGCUAAAAGACUACGACCAUAGGGCAAGCUAGAAGUGACAAACUACACACAGGAUUAGAAAAGAAAACAGAAAUUCGACAACCAAACAAAUCAAACUGUCGAAAGAUGUUUUACAAACUUUUUAAGCAAAAGAUCAUUUCGUCGUAAAUGGCAACGCAGCUUAAUGUAUUAAGAAACUUGAUGAGUUGUAUCAGCACCCCUUGUUCAGGCAGGAAUGCCGCCGGUGGGCGUUCCUGGCUUGAGCACACAGCUCCCUGCGGACUUGGCACUUUGGUUGACUGUCGGGUUUUCACUUUGUUCGUCGGGCUGCACGAAGAGGACAGAGUUAAUUCUGAAAAGUGCCUUUGUCGGGUCUCAAGUAUAAGUCUUGACGCUCGCAAUCAAAACUAACUUAAGUGCUGAGGCGUGCCACUGCCAUCUUAGCAUGGCAGAUGUAAAAUGAGUAGAUUUAAGCCGAUUACUUGCACCCCAAGUUACUCUGACUUCUCAUUAUCAAAGGAUUGUCAUGGAUAGGUUAAGUCCACAUUAGAUUCUUUUCUAUUCCUUGAGAUCAAGGACUUUUGUUUUAUCUUGUAUGGUAAAAGGGCAGAGGUUCGGAUCUAAUCAAGGCUUUAAGUGGAUUCACUCUUAAGAUAGUAAAACCAUUUAACUAAAACCAGAUCUAAGAGUAAGCUGAACUUUGGAUCAUUAAAAGACCUAAAAUGAUUUGAAUACAUACUAGGGAAUUCAUUACAACACCAGAUCUAUUAACUAAAAGACAAAACAAAGGGAAUCGGGUAAGAUUGAACCUUGUCGGGCAAGGCUGGACCUUUAUUCGUUUCUUUUCUUUGCAACUACAGGGAUCUGAGGGUUUUAAAAGAAGAUGGUUGACAAAUAAAUUUACACAAGAGAAUCGAUACUAAUGGUGAGCAACAGAGCUAUUAAACUUGACAAAAGAUGGCUUUUGUGAGGGCUGAUCCGGAAAAGGAUUGAGGUUGGGGGCUGACCACAGCUUCGUAUGCAAAUUUGGCUUGAGUAAAGUUUGUUUAUUUGUUUGUUUGAUUGGUUGAGUGUCCUUGUCUCUGGGCCUUCCUCCUCUUUUUAUAGGCGAAUUAGCAUAACUGUUUGCAACUUGGUUCCUCCCCGAAAGCAACUGAAGGGUAGUGACUCAUCAACAAUUUACAUACUCUGCCAUUCAGAAAGUACUUUUGGGCUGAGAGUAGCUUGAUUUCCAUCAAGUGUCACUUCCAUUUAGGCCACUUACUCCUACUUGCUCUUGCAUUAAUGUGGAAUCAUCAUUUUGCCUUGGGCUAGGCGAAUGGGUUUGAUGCUGGGCCUUCGGGCAGAGUCAUGCCUUCUGGGCUUCUUUUCCUUCAGCCCAAAGUUCAAAUAUUUAACCCAAACAGUACCCCAUUCAAUCAUUGUUAAGCCUUCAAGCUUUAGGCGCCAAUAAUGAUUUGAACAGCCGUCAUGCCUUCGCACGCUUCACUCGGAACUUGCAUUUUCUGACGUAGUUAAUGCAAACUUGGGUCGCUUACUCUUCCCGCGAAUUCCAAUCAUCACCUAAUCCCCUUUAUAAAAUCCGGCUCAAUUGUAGCUUCUGGGUUUUUAAAACCGAUUGAUUCUUCAUAUUCCCAGAAUUUCCUCGAGAAAAACCCUCUUAAAGCUUUCGAAUAUUUCCCAACUUGUUCUGUGAUCACUCUCAGUUUCCCAUUAUCCUUUCUUCCUUUAAUUUUUCACCAUGAUACCCGAAGUUCUACGAGCCUAACUCAUUCUUCCAUGUUUAUUGAAGGGAUUGCUAUUAAGCCAUUCCCUUUUGAUGAUUGAUAUGAGCAUAUUUAUGCGACUUAGUUAGCUUGUUGUUUUGCAUUUUCAUAGUUAGUUUGUGUUUAUUAUAGUGAUUUAAGCUAUUUUCGUGUGUUUCUAGGUCCAAUUGACAAAAUUGGCAAGAAAGUGCGAUUUGGAGCAUUUUGAGGUAGUUUUGGGCAUUAAAUGGAUAGCUUAUGAAUGGAGCAAGAUGGAUGGACGAAUUUGAAGUUCAAGAGGCUGGGAAUGUGCUGAAAAGAUGAAGAAAAUAAAUCCAAGACAAAAAAGAUAAGGAAUCAGCUCAAAAGAAGGAACAUUAUCCAAAACCUUAUCUUAUCCAAACUAACCUUAUCUUAUCUUAUCCUUGCCUAAUCUAGCUUUAUCCUAUCUUAUCUUAUCCAAAUUAGUUUGUGACUUAAAUCCAGGUACAAGGGGACCUAAAAACCUGAUUUCUAGAAGGCUUAUCAUUUCCCUACAUUCAUGAUGCACCCUUAUCCUUCUAGAACCUUAAAUUGGUGCUGUGAUUACCCUUUCUAGAAGACCCUAAUUAUCUGGCGCCUCUUCCUCUUCUAGAAGCCUAAGAAUCUGCUGGAAACCUUAAUCCUUUUCCUUAGGGAUUGUGCAAUCCAAAUCCUUAGGGAUUGUGCCGUGCCUUUUAGCCUAUAAAUACACAUCUCUGCCGCAUAAAUCAAACCACCCACGCACCCACAUACAUUCAGAUAUAAUUGAGAGAUUUCAGAGAGUUUUAAAGGUGCACUUGCGUGGAGGAAAGAGAAGGAGAAGCUUGUGUCGUGGCUUGCAAUCCAAGGGAGAGUUCGAAAUCUGCCAUUGGAGCUGCUAGGACGUUCUUGGUUCUUUCUAUCCUUAGAUUUGUUUCAAUGUUGCUUUUAAUUUGGUUUUAUGUUUUUAAAGACAUGACGAACUAAUCUUUUUUUAGUUGGAGGUGAAUUCGAAGCCAUGAUUAUAUACUUUAUAUGAAUUGAUUACAUCCAGUUAUUGUUUCUAAAUUCUUGAGUGUGAUUUGCUUAUAUGCGUUAUCAAAACUUGUUUAUGUAUGUUAAUUGAGGAUGCAUACUUAGUUUGGCUGUAUAAAUUUGAUGCUAGAGUAUAAGGGAGUUUCACCUAAUCGUUAUGAACUUAUAUUCACAAGUAGUAAAGGUUGCUAGUCACAAUCGUGUUAAGUAAAAUCCUUGGCAGGAGUAUCAUGCUUUUCAUAGUUACGAAUGCCUUGUCAAUACUUAUGAUUUUCAAAGAACUUAAUGACCUUUGAUAUGUUUUCUAUCAUGCUUUUCAUAGUUAGGGGACUUGAUAAGGAUAAUUUGGUUGUGAUGCGUAUCCUGUCUAAUUCAAUGAAAUAAGGAAAAUCUGAUGAUUAAUUUCUGCUGUCACGGUUAACUUAGGGUGUUGUCAUUCGUGGUUUAAAGGAACAAUACUGGAAAUUGGUUUAUGUUUGCAUAUGUCAUGUGUGGAGAGGGACCCUUUAACUAGCUUUUCACUCUUGAAUUCACUUAAAUUCGUUUUUAAAUUGCUUUGUUUCUGCAAGUUCUUUGUUUUAGUUUUAAUUCCGUCAAAACAAUCCCCCCUUUAAUUAAGUGUGUUAGUUUAGUUAGAAACUUGUUUAAAUCUGUCCAAAUUAGUGUUUUGAGUCAAGUAAGUCUUAAAUUCGUCCAAAUAACUCUUCAGUGUCAGUUUUGAGUCUUUUUUAUUGUUUUGUGCUUUUUUGAGUUAGUUUAGUUUGUUUUGAGUCAUAUAAGUCUAGUUAAGAGUCUGAGAGUCUAGUUUUCUGUUUUUAAGAUUAAUUUUGUGUUUUUAAGUCAGUUUUUAGUAGAUUAGCAUCCCUAGUUAAUACUCGGUCUAGAACGAUCCCUACUUACAUCUUUGCUACAAUUGUCAUCAAUAGGGUUUAAUUUGUGUGUCAAGUUAAUUUUCACAUCAAAUUUUGGCGCCGUUGCCGGGGAUUAGCAAACUUGCUAAUCUCUUUUGUUUGAGUCAUGUUUUUGUGUGUGUUUAAUUAUGUCUUUGCCGUGCCUUUUAAUUAGUUACUGAUUUGUUUUGUUUCUUAUUUCAGGUACUAGUUUAUGACUCGUAGUUCUCAACCUAUUAGUGCAAACAUCUUGGAGUUCGACGACAAUUUUGAACGAACUUUGGGAAGAAAGAGGAAGCAAUUAGAACCUAAUCCACCUAGUUCAAGUUCAGAGCCCGAAUCUGAAUUUAAGGAAGAAGAAGAAGAAGAGUAAGUCAUGGCAGUGGACAAUCGUACGAUCAAAGAACUUUCAGCCUCAGGGUUGGACAAUGUCGUACCCCUUUGCAUUCAAUACCCCAUGGCUGCCCAAGGAAAGAUUGAUGAGUUCGAGUUGAAGUCAAGCUUGCUACAUCAUAUUCCCAAGUACCAUGGGCUGUCUAUGGAAGAUCCAAACAAUCAUCUUAAGGAGUUUGAAGUGGUAUGUUCGAGCAUGACACCCAUCAAUGUCGAUGGGAACAUUCUGAAGAUGAAAGCCUUUCCAUUUUCUCUUAUGGACAAGGCUAAAGAUUGGCUAUACGAAUUAGCACCUGGAAUUGUCACUUCUUGGGAAAGUAUGAAACGAGCAUUCUUGGAAAAAUUCUUCCUAACUUCGAGAGUUAUUCUUUUGAGUAAGAAGACAAGUGGCAUUCAACAAAACCAAGGCGAAUCUUUCCCAACAUAUUAUGAGUGUUUUAAGGGUCUAGUUACAUCAUGCCCUCAACAUCAAAUGAAGGAGAAGCUGUUACUUCAAUAUUUCUAUGAAAGACUCCUCCCAAUUGAAAGACAAAUGCUAGAUGCCUCGGUAGGUGGUGCUUUGGUUGACAAAACUCUGAUGGCUGCCAAGAUCUUAAUUGCAAACCAGGCCUUAAAUGCACAACAAUAAGAAGGUGUUGGACAAAGAGACACCCCACGACAACAAGUCCAUAAGGUAAGUUCAAUGGCUGAAAUUCAAUCUCAAUUAGCUAACCUCACUAUGCUUGUGUCUCAGGUUGCCAAAGGAUGCAAAGUACAAGGAAAUACACCAAGUGUAUGUGGCGUGUGCUCUAUGCAAGGGCACCUCAA
RNAcentral lists this long non-coding RNA (47659 nucleotides) under Malus domestica (apple). RNAcentral describes it as "long non-coding RNA (MDOM_LNC015384)". The record is from RNAcentral. Lineage: Eukaryota; Viridiplantae; Streptophyta; Magnoliopsida; Rosales; Rosaceae.